AGGAAAGGUGGAAGACGCUGAUGUGGGAUCAUCCCGAUGCUCAGGCUAUUCUUCAACCUCAUCUAAAAAAAAAGGGAUACCCUAGAGGUUAAUGAGUUUAAUUGAUAUAUGAUUGCUUCACUUCUUAAAAGUCGUUGCAAAGAUGUAGCUUUUCUGUCUAUAUAGUCAUGCAGCUCUCAUAGUGGCCUUUUGCAGAACUUUUCGCCAAGGGAAUGGUUCUCCUGUGACUCUGCUCUUGAAGAAAGCCUUGUUGCUCAACCGUGCUUUCCUGCAAACUCGACUCAGGUUGCCAUAUGAAUUGACCUUUUCUGUGUGGCCAUGCUUUGUCUAUUUUGAAUGCGAUCACAUGUUUUAUUGACUACUAGAAAUAAGUGAAUCUGGUCGAUAUUUCAGGUUAGUCAAAAAGCAACGGAUCUGAAGAUUUGGGAAGCCAAGGGAAUAGCAAAGCCUGUUUCCUAUCUUGUCUUAUAACUGAAAGGACAAGUUAUUAUUAUGGAUUUAUCUCCUUGGGAUAUUAGCCUUCUAAGAAAAGAGGGAAUUUUGUGCAGCACUACCUUUAAUCUGUUUUUGUUUAGAAAGGAUUUCAAAUAUGAUAUUGCUUUAACUUGUCGAUCGAAAAUAUUGUGUCAAAUACGCUGCUUCCCUCUGUUGGAUCAGAGCAACAUGACCCCGAUUAAACUUGUUUCGACAUUAAACUAUCGGGUAUAGAAUACUUGAUCUGCUUAGUAGUUGUAUCAUAUCUGGAAACGUAGGCUGGGAAGUUUUCUCUUCACCCGUUGUCAUACUUUGAGUUAGAAAUGUAAAAAGACGAAGAAGAAAGAAUUGCAUAGUUAUCGCCCCUCUUUAAAUGCCUCAAAGUUGUGGAUAGAUGGAGAAACCUACAGCUUCAGCUCAAGUUACCAAAAAUUAGAGCAGUAACCACUAGCAAGUCAAUGGAAAAAGGGCCAGCUUAUAGGACGUGGCACUUUUGAAAGUGUUUACAUUGCAAGCAACCAGUAAGUUAGCUCUGGGAAUCUUAGACACGUUCCAUUUUUUAAGAUAUCCAGUCAGCUAAACUUUGACAUAUUAAGUGACAGAAAAACCGGAUCUCUAUGUGCACGGAAGGAGUUUGAGCUAUCGCCUAAUGAUCCAAAUUUAGCUGAGUGCAUCAAGCAGUUAAAGCAGGUAAUGUUUUUGUUAUGCUCUGGGAUCCAAUCUAUUCUCUCAUCUGAUCUAAAUAUGCUGGGAGGAAACUUUCUUUCAUCAUUUCCAGGUAAUUGAUUGUUACUACAGGAAAUUCAGGUACUUAGCCAGCAUAGACAUCCGAACAUUCUGCAGUAUUAUGUCAGGGAAAUUGUGAGUCACAUUUCCACAGCACCUAUGCAUCCCAGCUCAAUGGGCGUUCAUUAUUUGACUCGCCAAAAUUUCAACAUAUUCAUACGUACUCAGGUUGAGGAUUGGCUUUACGUAUAUCUAGAAUAUGCACAUCACGAUUCAAUAGACAAGUAUAUCCAAGAGCGUCUUGGGACCCUAACAGACUCGGUUGUCCACACUUUACCCACUAUAUUGUGGCUGGAUUGGCUUCCCUGCAUGUUAACAACUCCAUACAUGGGUAAUUCUAAACCAUUGAUCAAGCAUCAUGAGAUGGCUUGUGCAGGGAUUUAAAGGGAGCUAAUUUAUUUGUGGAUGCAUCUGGGAUAUUCAAACUUGCUGACUUUGGAAUUGCUAAACAUGUGAGUUUUUACCUCUUCACUGCAAGACAACUCAGUGCAUGUAGAAAUUACUUGAUGAUCUGUGGUGCAUUCGAAUGUGAAGUCAGGGACCCAGGGUGACUGCGAACUUCUCAUUAUUGGUUUGUGGCAUUUCAUAUGUGCAAAAAUCUAUCACAGGUGGAUGAAAUGUUAUUAAGUAAUUUUCUUCACUUUUUUUCCCAUUGUUUCAGGUAAAGUUACCAUGUUGCAUAAACAGGAAAAGAUUUCUUGCUUUAAAUAGAUGCCGAAACCUAAUGAGAGUUCUUUCCCUUUCUACUGGUUUCUAAAAAGUUCCUAAGAGCAGUAGUGAAUAGAACGCAAUACCUUUGGCAAAAGGUUGUGGUGUUGUUUUUGCUGCUCCUCUGCAUUCCAAAAUAGGAUAGAAUUUAGUCAGAGUAAGCAAGGGCCUCCUUCCUAACAUGGGGUAAAUAAAAGUGUAUUGAUCCAUAGAAUGGAAUUCUGGAUAGUAGCCAAGGUGUUGUUGCUCUCUUUUUGAGUUCUCAAGCAUUUGCUGAGGUCAUGUUGUUGAUUGCUUCAAGUUGAAAGUGGUUGAUUCAGUAAUCAAUCUGAUGUAUCUAUGUCUAUAAAGAUGUUGCUAUUUUAUCCAGUGUUCCAUGAACACACCAAGUAGUCUUCAGCUUUACUAAUGCUGUACCAUUUCUUAGCUAACCGGACAAGCAGCUUGCUGCUCUUUGAAGGGAAGUCUAAACUGGAUGGCUCUAGAGGUACUCUGCUUUUGUUAACGUUAAUGCGGCAUUCUUUUUUAGUUGUGGCGGAAUGAUGGAAUAAUAUGUCUUGCAACUCAUACAAUCCUUGAUGGUGAAUAAUUACAGCACGGAUCUCAAUCAUACUGCCGACAUGUGGAGUUUGGGAUGUACUAUUACCGAAAUGAUUACUGGGAAACCUCCUUGGACUAUGAGUGAGUAAGUACGCUGCACUGUUUUUUUUUUUUUUCAUUUUCUCUCUAUCCUUCCUGGUAAUACGCUUCCAAGCAAAUCUGUGUUGUCGUUUUCUGUUGGAAGUUCGGGCCAUGCGCAUUACCAUUUGGUGUGUGAUCUGUGUCAUGAGUUUCUAUUUAAGGUUGAAUUAUUAAUGCAGGCUCAAGCUAUAUUUAAGGUGAUGCGAAGUUCUCCAGUAAUACCUGAGACGUUAUCUGCCGAGGGAAAGUAGCUGCGGAGAGGCCUUCUGCUGCUAUGCUACUUGAGCAUGCUUUCCUGCAAAUUUGAAGUUGCAAAUGAUUGACUUAUUUCAAGUGUUGUACGUUGUCGCAAAAGGGAUUUGUUGUCCUGUAAAGUUCCAUAUUUACUAAACCAAAAGGAUCACACGGUCCAUAGAUGUGAUGAAGUACUUGUAUAUUGACAAAAUAAGGCACAUACUUCUCUUGCAUGGUCUGACUGGCGGCAUACCAAUCUAGGCAAUUUGACAGUGUUGCUUAAUCUAAACCUUUUACUGCAUAGUGCAUUCUUACCAAAAACAUUUUGUACGAAGUACAUUUAUUCAUCAAAAUGGAAUGGUAUUGAUUUGGCUCCAAAUAAGCAAUAGGUCACGAAACACAAGCAAGAAAACCCAGAAAAGAAAAAAGAAAAAGAAAACCGAAGCUAUAGUGCAUCAGAAUUCCUAAACUCAUUUUGAAAGUAAAUACUUUGUCGGUUUGGUGGGAGAAACAUUGGCAAGUUUGGCAAACCUGCAAUGUCUUCGGAUUGCGGUAGUGAAGGGAGUAGUAUCGAAAUUAUGGGCAUUGGAGGCUCUUGAUUCUUCCCUUCAACAGUGUCGUUGAUCUCAAUAAAUACAUGAGAUUUCUCCAACCAAAAUGGCCCUCAUCAUAUUGUCACCAAAUUCCAGUGAAUCAAGAAAAGCCAUUGUGGUCUGCUUGCAAAUGUAAAUGAUCAUGAUGAUCCAAGAUUUGCAGCUUCCGAGAGGGGAAUUCACGUCGAUUGUUGCGAUUAUGCUCUUGUCAGGGCAGUAGGGGAAAGUCUUUCGCCUGAUGGUUUUGCUCCCAAGUGAUGCUGCAAGUUUGCCGUAUUUUCCCCUUAGGGUUGUUUGUCAUUUUGUGGAACAUUUUUAGAAUAAUUUUGCAUCCCGUGUCUAUAAAAUGCAAAUAGCCGAUGAAAUCUAUUGAAAACAUCUCAAGCUAUUCAUUUACGAGAUUUUAAUGGUUCUUAUAUGUAUAUAAUUUACCUUCCCUUACUUGUUCAAAUUUUUAGGUUGGACUUUCACUUAUGUGAAAAUAGCAAUUUGUGCGUGAAUUGCAAAGCAAACAUACUUCCUUUUUUUCUAUUUUUUUUCUACAAUUAAAGUGAUUCCUCUAUCCUAAUGCAUACCGGAAAUAUAUGAUAUGAAUGACAAAGUGUAACAGAAAAAUAAACUCCUCGAAAUUUUGCAAAGUCGGAGGCGCCACUGAGGCCGAGCGAUAUCUCUCGGUUGCAUUGGAUUCUUUCUUCGAUUUCAUUUUCUUUUGUUCUUUUCCUCAUUUUUGAACCAACAGCCUAACCAUGAGGCGCCUUUUCUCUUCUGUCCCUUAUCUGUACUCCUUUUCUUUCGUACAACUCGUUCUUCUUUCGCUGCUUUUUGGAUUUUUUUUUCUUGGUGUCCUCUGCCCAAACCCUUAAUGAAGACAACUAAUCGGUGUUUAGUUUUCCAAAGUGUAGCAUUAUUGAGCACCAUCAUCGACCAUCAAGUUCGCUAAACUCAGUCAUCAAUUAACUAACUGUUCUUGUUAAACAGGAGCUGCACCAACGNNNNNNNNNNNNNNNNNNNNNNNNNNNNNNNNNNNNNNNNNNNNNNNNNNNNNNNNNNNNNNNNNNNNNNNNNNNNNNNNNNNNNNNNNNNNNNNNNNNNAGAUCCAAACUACAUAUGAAACUGGACUCGUAAUUGGGAAAACAUGAAUUUAGCAUAUUAUACAUUGCUCCUAAAUAAUUUUAUGCACAUGCCAAAUAACAAGUACAUGUAUAAGUUAAGGCAAAUAGGUCUUUAGCAAAUUGACAAUGCAGAAACCGAGAGAGCGUAUGAAGUGAUCUUUGCAUUUUUGAAACUCUGUUAGUGUACAUUCUAGUAGUUUUCCCUUGUCAAAAUAUACUGAUUUUCAACUUUCGCUGAAAUGUCACACGUUCAAUUGGGGGAGAAUAUGAUCGAUAGUCCUAAUUAGCCAAGUCACAAAACCAAUCAUAUAUUUAAAUAGUUCAGAAAUCUUUCUGUUCAUUCUAAUUAAUAAUCGCAUCAAAGAAUUUUUCCCUAAACCUUUAUAUUCAGUCAUAGUUACUACUUUUCAGUUCACUCUUUGAAAGAUUCCCAUGAUCUCUUCAAAUAAAUUAAAAUACAAUUCAGGGUUAGUGGUCGUAACUUUAUCUAUUAGGUAUAUAGCUUAAUGCUCAUUUUGAAUGAGGGCAAAAGGUCACCCCGUUUACAUUCACGUGUUUGUCACAUUGUGAUGGGAAAAUGGGAACGAAAUGCAAGUUCAGAGGCACAGGAUGCAACUUUCUAAAUUUCCAUUUUCAAAUGCAUUGGGUUCCCUUUUCCCCAGUCAUCUCUUCUUAAUCAUCCCGGUGCAAGGACAGGACUUUCCCUGGACAGUGAUGCACAACAAGCCAUUAUCAUUGUACUGAAGUGAAUCUGUUUCCUUUGAUCGUGGACGAUUCUAUGCUCCCGAAAUCGGGGUAAUAUAUGAUGGGGUGCGCUCUAUUUGCUUGCAGGUUCGUAACAAAGAGGAUAUAGCUUGGAAAUUCGUCAAUAGAUUGGAGGACAGCAAAUGGCGUUGUUAUUACUGCCGUGGAGAAUUCUUUAAAGACCUUACAGGAGUGAAAGGUCACUUGCUUGGAGUCCCAAAUGAAGGGAUUUCCAUUUGCACACAAGUGCCGGACCAUGUAAGAAAGAUAAUGCAGUCGUUACAAGAUGAGAUGGCUGAAGAAGAGAGCAGGGGAGCCAAUGGUCAAUCCUCCGCGGAACCACAGUCACGUGGCAUGCCCGCUCAAGCUGAGGUGGCUGAAGAAGAGAGCAGAGAGGCCAACGGUCAAUCCUUCACAGAACCACAGUCACGGGGCAUGCUGCCUCAACCUGAGGUGGCUGAAGAAGAGAGCAGAGAAGCCAACAUUCAAUCCUCCACGGAAACACAAUCCCGCGACAUGCCCACUCAAGCUGAGGUGGUGGCUGAAGAAGAGAGCAGAGAAGCCAACGGUCAAUUUUCCAGGGUCUGUUGAAUAUUAAUCUGCAGUUUUGCUUUCCUGCUUUACUACUUGUGGAUGCUAUUAUUUGCUUGAGAAUAAUGCUAUGCGCAUUAGGAAAAUGUACACAAGAUUGAUAGGUUAUAUAAUCGGGCGUGCUCUCUUUGCCUGCAUGUUGAUAAUCAAAAUGACAAGAUGCCGCGAGUUAAAGAUGCCGUGAGUUAAAGAAAUAGCCUGGAAAUUCGUGAUUAGACUGGAGGGCGAGAAAUGGUGUUGUCCUUACUCUGGAAAAGUUACAAGAGUGAAAAGUCACUUUCUUAAACAUUCAAACAGAGGCAUUUCUCCUUGUAAAAAAGUGCCGGAGCACAUAAGCAUGCUAAUGGAUUGGUUACACAAUCAGGUGCCUUUAAUGCUUGUGGUAGCUACAUUGUUUGCCUGAGAAUGAUGCUAGCGUGCUAAGAAGAUUUAUGAAAAAUGGGGAUAAUAUAUGAUGGGGUGUCGCUCUAUUUGCUUGCAGGAUCGUAACAAAGAGGAUAUAGCCUGGAAAUUUGUUGAUAGACUGGAGGACAACAAAUGGCGUUGUCAUUACUGCCGUGUAGAAUUCUUUGGAGACCUUAUGGGAGUGAAAGGUCACUUGCUUGAAGGGAUUUCCAUUUGCACGGAAGUGCCGGACCACAUAAGAAAGCUAAUGCGGUCAUUACUCGAUGAGGUGGCUGAAGAAGAGAGCAGAGAAGCCCACGGUCAAUCCUCCGUCGAACCAAAUUCCCGUGACAUGCCGAGUCAAGUUGAGGUGGCUGAAGAAGAGAUUAGAGAGGCCAACCGUCAAUUUUCCACGGAACCACAGUCGCGUGACAUGCUGUCUCCAGCUGUUCCUCGGUCAUCACAAAGCUUGGAAGAUACAGAAAACUUAUUCACAACAACAGAGUGGGCGACUGACUUGGAAAACUUAGACUAUGACCUAGAGCGUCAUUUUCUUGAGACUUUGGCAAUGCCGCCACCGGCGCAAAAUAUUCAUGGUAUGUUCAUGUGAAGUUUCUAUACAUGCAUCUAGGCAUGGAGAAAAAACAUAUAUUAUAUUCAAACACGUCGGGUUUUUUAACCAAAGUGGAGACUUUUAAAUAUCUUCUAUAAAAACGAUCUUCCUAUGGGACUUUCCAAAUGUAAAGAAAGUCAAAUCACCUAUUCCUUAAUAACAGUGCAUUGAAUGUGUUGCACCUGUCCAUUGGACCCAUUGGAUCCAAUAAACUAACUACAGUAGGUAGUCUUUUAUGUUCCAAUCAACUAUAUCCUAAUUUUGAUGAACUUCACGCAGAUGAAAACAUACCAUUUUCAACGAUAGCUUUAGCAGAAGUAGAAUCGGAUCUUCUUGAUCCGCCAUGUCAGCCACAAUAUUCCAAUCGAUCUCUUUAUCGCGAGGAAAUGCAAAUGAAUGACCAGCAGACUCCAGCAGGGGCAUUAUCAUUCCAGUAUGUUCCAUUACCUGCUGUAGGUAAUUCAAAUUGCUUGCAGGACUGCAAUGACUCUCAAUUGCAAACGCCAGUGGACGUAGAUCCCUCAAUUGCAUCACAGCGUACAAAUCACAUUACUGGGGCACAAAUCAAUUAUUUGAAAGUUCCAGAGGCAGCAACAAAUACAACAGGCCCAUCAUCAUCACAGGGUUUGUAUGGAUUAAUCUACAUUGCUACUAUGGUUAUAUUAGAUACUUGAAUAUCUCCAUAUUAUUUUAUUGAAAUCUAACAUAUGAUUUUUUAAACAAGAUAGGAACAUGGAUUAUCCAAUCAAGAACAUGCUGAGCAUCAUUGCAUAUUCUAUUUGUCUGAUAUCAGUUUUUAUCACACCAUUACUUUCUUCAAAAUAUUUAACUCUAAUGCGGUCGUUACUCGAUGAAGUGACUGAAGAAGAGAGCAGAGAGGUGGCUGAAGGACAAAGCAGAGAAGCCAACCGUCAAUCCUCCACGGAACCACAAUCACGUGACAUGCCUGUAAGACAAAAUAAUUUAUAUACAGAAGCCAGGAUCAAUUAAAGACAAACCUCCAGCCAUUGUUUUGUUCACAUUCGUCAGAAAACCUGAAAUCAAAGAAAAUUGGGGACACUCUACUACCCAAUUCACUCUCGUACUGAUGGUGUAUUCUGAAUGAGAGGGUUUGAGUUAGACAUUGUCAUCAUCCGUCAGAAAUGAACGUACGUUCCUAUUUAUACACUGUCUCCCAUCAAGACGGGCGGUUGUCACCAAAUGGUACGAAGCGUGGAAAACUUUAUGUUGAACAGUCGCAACCUUUAGAGAAAAUAAAUGUGGGAUCAUAAAAAUAAAUAACAUUCUCCCACUUGAUCCCAUCAUUUUCAUUAUACAGAUUAUCCAACUAAUUCCACAAAAACUUUAUGCUUAAAGAAAAGAAACAAAACACAUGGAUCAUGGCGACAUGUCCUCUAAGAGUGAGUAAUAUCUUCCAUGUAUCACAAUGCACCUUAUUUCUUUAAUGUCAGCCUAUAUGUGACAACAAAUCUUAAUGAAUAAACCCCAUGUUUAUUCCAAAACCAAUGAUAAAUGUUAUUCUCAUAAACAACAAAAUGUGUACACAAAAAUUGAGAAUCAACAUUACAACUGAAUAAGAGUUUCAUACAACAAAAAUCGUUCAUAUAACGACAAAUUACAUAAUGGGACCUAUUCCCAUACUAGUUACAUGAUCCUUAUACUUCAUUGGUGGCAUGCCUUUAGUUAAAGGAUCGGCUAUCAUCAAUUCAGUGCUAACGUGUUCAAUGACCACUUUAUUCUCCUUAACACGUUCCCUUAUGGUUAAAUACUUAAUGUCGAUAUGCUUACUUUGACUGCCACUUUUGGCAUUUUUAGCCAUAAAAACCGUAGCUGAAUUGUCACAAUAUAUUCUUAAUGGCCUAGAAAUUGAAUCAAUAAUUCUAAGCCCAGCAAUGAAACUCUUCAACCAUACACCAUGCGAGGUAGCCUCAAAACAAGAAACGAACUCAGCCUCCAUAGUGGAAGUAGCAGUCAAAGUCUACUUGGCAUUUCUCCAUGACACGGCUCCGCCAGCUAAUAUAAAAAUGUAUCAAGAUGUUGAUUUUCGUGAAUCAAUGUAUCCCGCAAAGUCCGCAUCCGAAUAACCAACCACUUCCAGGUUGUCAGUCCGUUUAUACAUAAGCAUAUAGUCUUUGGUACCUUGAAGGUAUCUCAUCACUUUCUUUGCAGCUCUCUAGUGGUCUAAACCUGGAUUACUCUGAUAUCUUCCCAACAUUCCCACAGCAAAAGCGAUGUCAGGUCGAGUGCAAACCUGAGCAUACAUUAAGCUUCCAACAACAGAAGCAUAUGGAAUGUUGUGCAUUUGUUCCCUUUCUAGAUCGUUCUUCGGGUAUUGGUUCAAAUUGAACCUGUCACCCUUCACAAUGGGUGCUAUACUUGGUGAACAAUCUUUCAUCCGAAAUCUCUCUAGAACCUUAUUGAUAUAGGUUUCUUGAGAUAGUCCUAAAAUGCCUCGAGGUCCAUCUCUAUGGAUCUUAAUGCCAAUGACAUAAGAUGCCUCACCCAUAUCCUUCAUGUCAAAACUCCUAGAGAGAAAUUGUUUCACCUUAUGUAGCAACCACUUAUCAUUGGUUACAAGUAGUAUAUCAUCCACAUACAGUACAAGGAAACAAAUUUUGCUCACACUGACCUUCUGGUAUAUACAUUGAUCCAUGACAUUCUCUACAAAACCGAAUGAAGAGAUGACUUCAUGGAACCUUAAGUACCAUUGGCGGGAUGCUUGUUUCAAGCCAUAUAUAGAUUUCUUAAGUUUGCACACCAAAUGCUCACCUUUACUAGAGGAGAAUCCUUCAGGUUGUUUCAUGUAAACCUCCUUCUCUAGUUCUCCAUUGAGGAAUGCUGUUUUCACAUCCAUCUGAUGUAAUUCCAUAUCAAAAUGGGCAAUCAAAACCAAAACAAUACGAAGAGAAUCUUUCUUAGAUACAGGAGAAAAAGUCUCCGUGUAGUCGAUUCCUUCCUUUUGAGUGAAUCCUUUGGCAACAAGUCUAGCUUUAUAUCUUUCAAUGUUACCCAAUAAAUCAUUCUUAGUUUUGAAGACCCAUUUACAACCAAUGGCCUUCACACCAUUAGGUAACUCAACCAAAUCUUAAACUUUGUUAGAUGCCAUUGAACUCAUUUAUUCCUUCAUGGCAUUGUACCACAAAUUGGAUUUAUCACUAUCCAUGGCUUGUGAAAACGUUUUGGGAUCAUUCUCAGCUCUAAUAUUGUAGUCAAACUCUUGUAAAUACACAAUAUAAUCACUAGGAAUAGCCGAUUUCUUUAUUCUAGAAGAUCUUCUCAAUUUUGCAUCGACAUUCUCUUGAGGUGCGUGUUGCUUAACUAGUUGUUCAACAGUUUCUGGUAAUUAUUGAACAACUGGAUCUACUAGAUCAAUAUCAACAGGUUGUGGAACUUCAACGAUUGGUUGUUCAAUAGCCGGUUGAACUGAAUAGGCAUUAUAAGCAACGACCAACCCUAAACUUGAGGUGGGAGGAUGAAUGUCUGGAUGAUCUUUCUUAGGAACAAGGUCCUUCGAUUGAUCACUCCCACUAAUCAAGUCAUUUUCAAGAAAUUUAGCAUUUCUUGAUUCCACAAUCCUAGUAGUGUGAGAUGGACAAUAAAAUCUGUAUCCCUUAGACCUUUCGGCAUAUCCAAUGAAAUACCCACUUAUGGUCCUUGGGUCCAACUUCUUUUCUUGUGGAUUAUAAACUCUCACUUCAGACGGGCAUCCCCAAACGCGCACAUGAUGCAAACUCGGUUUCCAACAUUUAAAUAAUUCAAAAGGUGUCUUUGGGACAGCUUUGGUCGAAACUCGGUUUAAUAUGUACACUGCCGUCUUAAGUGCUUCAGUCCACAAAGAUUUAGGAAGUUUGGAGCUGCUAAGCAUGCUACGCACCAUGUCCAAUAAGGUCCGAUUUCUUCUUUCCGCUACGCCAUUUUGGUCCGGAGAACCAGGCAUAGUAUAUUGGGCAACUAUCCCAUGCUCUUGAAGAAACCUUGCAAAUGGACUAGGUGCUUGUCCAUCUUCAGUGUAUCUACCAUAGAAUUCUCCACCCCUAUCUGAUCUCACGAUCUUAAUUUGCUUAUCGCAUUGUUUCUCUACUUUCACCUUAAAUACCUUAAAGGCAUCUAAUGCUUCAUACUUAUUAUGAAUCAAAUAGAGAUACAUGUAACGUGAGUAAUCAUUUAUAAAAGAGAUGAAGUAUUUCUAACCACAAGAGUCCAUAUCCGAACUACAAAUAUCCCUGUGUAUGAUUUCUAAUAUUUCUGUACUCCUCUUGGCACCUUUUUUUGUCUUGUUAGUCUGAUUUCCCUUUAUGCAGUCCACACAAGUAUCACAAUCAGUAAAAUCUAAAGUACCGAGUACUCCAUCAUUUACUAAUCGCUUGACUCUUUCUAUGGAAAUAUGUCCCAAUCUCCGAUGCCACAACAUAGAGGAAUGUUCUUUCACAACACAUCGUUUUAUACCAACUUUAUCAUGAACAUGCAUCGCAUCAUAAUAGGCAUUGUCUUGUAAAUUAAUUCGAAAAAGACCAUCAGACAAAAUACUACUCCCAACAAUUUUAAAUUUAAAUGAUAAACAAAAGUUUGAAUCUGAAAAGUUAAAAAAGUAUCCCAAAGGUACAAGUCUUGAAACUGAAAUUAAGUUUCUAGAAAAACUAGGAACAUAAAAGGUCUUUUCCAAAUUUAAAACAAAACCACUAUUGAGAACUAGUCUAUAUGUCCCAAUAGCUUCUACAUGCGAACGCAUCUUAUUUCCUGAAUAGAUGCUUUGUUCACUUCCCACUGGCUUCCUGUGGUUUUGAAAACCCUACAAGGAAUUCGAAAUAUGGAUUGUAGAUCCAGAAUCAAUCCACCAAGUGUUGUGACUUACAUCAAUCAUAUUAGAUUCAUAACAAACACGAGAUUUGAUUACCUUUCUUCUCAAGCCAAGCCUUAAAUUUGACACAAUCCUUCCUUAUAUGCCCCUUCUGUUUAUAAAACAAGCAUUUGGAUUCUUUCUUAAUGUCAGCUUGGGGAGGUAUUUUACCUUUUCCCUUAUGCUUGCCAUAGCCCUUAUUCUUUCCUUGUAUUGUCAAAUGAGCCACUUUCUCCCAAUUCCAUAACCAGUCUUUCUUCGUCUUGAACACACAUGGUCAUGAGUUCAUUAAUAGACCAUUUAUUCUUAUGUGUGUUAUAAGAGAUCUUGAAAGGUGCGUAUUGUUGUGGGAAAGUGUUCAGAAUAUAAUACACAAGGAAGGAUUCAGAUAUCUCAACCUCAAGGUUCUUAAGCUGAGUUGCAAUGUUCCUCAUUUGCAUGAUGUGCUCACGCACACCUCUAACACUAGUGAGCUUCAAUGAUGAAAACUUCAUAAUCAGGGUCAUGGCAUGCGCCUUCUCAGAACUUUCAAAUUGCGCAUCUAUGGCCUCCAAUAAAGCCUUAGCAUUGCUAUGCUGAGCAACCGAACCACAAAUACUAGGAGAUAUCUGAGCUCUUAUAAACAUAGCACAAACAUGGUUGGACCGCUCCCAUUGGUUAUAAAGAGCUAUCUCAGCUAGAGUGCUCGAAUCAGUAGGAGCAGGUGGUUCGUCUUUCCUUAUAGUAUAGUCAAUGUCCAUCCACCCCAAUUGAAGAAGAACCGACUCCUUCCAAACUUUAUAGUUCUCACCAUUCAGUAUGGGAACAUCAAACUUAAAUUCAGAGAAAUUCACAUGUUGCGAAACUGCAUAUCAAAUAAUCAUACUUAUGUCACAAAAUUUGAGGCAAAUAUGUAUAAAUAAAUCAUAUUUUACCAAUGUAAACAUGUCACAAUAUGAAUCACAUAACAUAAAAACUUCAUGUGGGCUAAGUUUUUAAUUUAAAUAGAUUCAUAAUUACUUCAUGAAGAAACUACCAUAUUAUAUGCAUUUUCUUAAUCCCUAUGGGUAAAUUAAGAAAAAUAAUAUGAUAUUUCAUCCUAAUUAAUCAUAUUAAUAUAAUGAAAAUUCAUGUGGGAUAAAAUUCAUCAUAUUAAUAUAAUUAAUUACAAUCAAUGUCCGUUUUUAAAUAUGAUCCGGAGGCUUUUAAUAUAUAAUUUAAUUAAUUAAAGAUGUUGUGGCCACUCUCUAAUUAAUUAAUUAAUUAUAUUGACCAUUGGACAUUUAAUUUCACGCAUAAAAUAUUCAUAACAAUGCAUGAAAUGACAUAAUAUAUAAAUACAUCAAGGGCAUAACAGUAAAUAAAUAAAUUGGCCAAGGGCAAGAUUGCAAAAAACAAGAAAAUUUGAGGCAAAAGCGUAAAUAGAAGCCGCAUGGAGGAGACGCCAGGCACGCGCCUGUUCCCGCGGCAGGCGCGUGGUCCAUACGCGCGCGGUUCAGCGCGCGUGCGCGUGCAACACACACACCUAGCAACUGCCACGCUCGUGGAUCCCACGCACGCAACGGUUGAGCGCCCGUGAGAGCGCGUGGCGCGUGGAUUCCACGCCCCUGCAACCGCAGUGCGCGCGUAGGCUCCACGUGCCUUCUUCCUCACACGAACAGAAGCUUUUCUUCGCCAUUCCGCCGCGGUUUCGCCGGCUAUUUCUUCUCCGGCCGGCCAUUUCUUCUCCAGCAGCCCAUCUCAGACAGAAAUAAAUAAUGAGUUUUGAAGAGCAUGCCGGAAAAAUCACACGGGUCCAAGUUUCGGUGAAAAUGAGCAAAAAUUGGCCCCAAAAUCAUACGAAAAUUUCCUAAAACACAAUUCCUUCAACCACUGCGACUUCCACCGCCCGAUUAGCCUCCGGCGAUCACCGAUAUGCCGAAAUAACUCAUGACUAAUAUUCCUCAUGGCGGUGCGACCGUGCGGGUCCGAAAUCAUGGGGUGGGUCGCCGGAAUUUGCUUGGAAUUUGGGAGUUUCUCUGUUGGCCUCAAAACUCCGAAUUACUGUUCAUGUUCAAAAUGCCCAAAAAACACACCAAAAAUUCGAGAAAAACAAGGCAGAGGCACUAGACAUGCUCUGAUACCAAAUGUAAGACAAAAUAAUUCAUAUGCAGAAGCCAGGAUCAAUUAAAGACAAACCUCCCGCCAUUGUUUUGUUCACGUUCGUAAAAAAACCUGAAAUCAAAGAAAAUUGAGGACACUCUACUACCCAAUUCACUCUCGUACUGAUGGUGUAUUCUGAAUGAGAGAGUUUGAGUUAGACAUUGUCAUCAUCUGUCAGAAAUGAACGUACUUUCCUAUUUAUACAUUGUCUCCCAUCAAGACUGGCGGUUGUCACCAAAGGGUACGAAGCGUGGAAAACUUUAUGUCGAACAGUCGCAACCUUUAGAGAAAAUAAACGUGGGAUCACAAAAAUAAAUAACAAUGCCCACUCAAGCUGAGGUGGAGGCUGAAGAAGAGAGCAGCGAAGCCAACGAUCAAUUUUCCACGGGGCCUUUACUCUUACCAGGAUUUUUCGAGUAUAUGGAACAGUUAAACUUCAGCCAACAGGUGCAAAAUUGCCAUGGUAUGUCCAUGUAAAGUUUUUAUACAUUCAUCCAGGCGCGAAGAAAGGAAAAAUCAUUAUAUUUUUCAGAUUAGUAACUCUCUCUAUAAUAACUCAAAUUCAUCUGCUUCCCUAUCAUAUCGAUUCCAAAUUACAGUUGUAUCAUUGUAUAUUCUAUAUGUCCCAUAUCGUUAUCUUUUUACCGCAUGGUUUAUUUCAUCAAAAUAUUUACUUAUGAGCAUAUGUUGAUUUUCGCCGUAAAUAUUUGUUUUUUAAUCAAGUUCUAGACAUUCGUUUUACCUGUACCCAUGGCUUGAUUUAAAAGUCCCAUUGUUGAUUUAUUUUACGCUCAACUUUUUUAGUGCAACCAGUUUUGGUGCCCCCUCAACAUCAAAAUGCUCCACAUCAAUCCAAGACAAGGAAUGUGCUUCAGAAUCCAACUGCACAAUCAUCAACAGCUCUAAGGGAUAUGGAUUUACGUAUCCUAUCAUCAUCACAAGCUUCAGAUGUUGCUCCACAGUGGCCGACCGAUGUUUCAAACUUCAACCAACAGGGAUAUCAAUGGGCCAAACUCUGGCCAACAAUCACAAGCAGAGCGUCAGUUUCCUCAGAGUUCAACAAUGCCGUCACUGGCACAAAAUCGCCAUGGUAUGUUAAUGUGAAGUAUCUAUACAUUCAUCUCGGCGGGGAGAAAAACAUCUAUUAUAUUUUUCAACGCAAACAUGUUGGAUUUUUUAACCGAAGUGGUAACUUUUAAAUAUCUCCGAUAAACAUGCUUUUUCCACACAACUGUUCAAAUAUGAAGAGAGUCAAUAACCUAUUCCUUAAUAACCAUACAUCCAAUGUGUUACACGUGGCCACUGGACCCACUGGAUCCAGUAAACUAACUACAAUAAGCAUUCUCCCGUGUUCCAAUCAACCAUAUCCUAACUUUGAUGAACAAAACACAGGUGAAAGUUCCACGAUGGCUUUAGUGGAAGCGGAAUUGUAUUUUCAUGAUCUGUUAGAUUAGUCACAAUGUUACUUUCAAUCUCAAAUGCAAAUGAUUGCCCAUCAGACUCCAGCAGGGGCGUCAUCAUUCCAGGAUGAUCAAUUACCUACUGUAGAUAAUUCAAAUUGCUUGCCGGAUUGCAAUCAGCACUCUCAAUUGCAAACUUUAAUGGACAUAGAUCCCUCAAUUGCACCACAGCAUACAAGUGACUCACACAUUAUUGAGGCAACAACGGUUGAAUCUCAAGUUUCAGAGGCGGCAACAAAUGCAACAGGCCCAUCGUCAUCACAAGGUGUGUUUGGAUUAAUCUUCAUUGUUACUAUAUGGUUCCACUAGACUCUUAAAUAUCCCCAAAUUAUUUUAUCGAAAUCUAACAUAUGUUUUUUUUGUAAAUUAGAUAUGAAUAGGGGUUCUCCAGUCAUGGACGUACGGAGCAUCUAUGCCAACGAUGAAGAGAUAAGAAACCUGAAAAGAAAAGUGGAAGAACUUGACGACAAAAAAGCUGUCAUAAAGGAGCAGAUGGAGAUAGAGUCUGCUGCUUCCUCUGUUCGGAAGAAGCCGAGGAUAUUGGUUGAGAGAUGACUGAAAGAGACAGAAAGAGCAAGAAAUAAUUUCCAAAUAAUUGGCCAAGCCAAUGUGGAAACUUUGCCACCAAAGGAACAGGUGGAGACAUUGACGAGAGAAGUGGAAGAACUCAUAGGAAAAAUGCUUCCACAAACACUACUCAUAGAGGAGAGAGAUGCCAAAGGAGUCAAAUUUUUUGAACGAAAGCUAACAGGUGAAGUGAUUCAUAGGAACAUUAAGUUGAUUUGGGAUUGUCUGAAGGAAAAUCAUGUAUGCAAAUUGGGUAUUUAUGGAAUGGGUGGUGUUGGGAAGACAACUAUUAUGAUGCACAUACAUAAUAGACUUCUCAAUGAUGCAACCUUCGAUGGUGUGGUUUUUAUCACUGUGUCCAAAGAUUUCAGCAUUUAUAAGUUGCAGAGUGAUAUUGGGGAGGCAUUAAAAUGUGGCAUUAAGGAGGUUGAGGAUGAGAAGAAAUGAGCAGCGAUGUUGUUGGAGCAUUUAGAAAGAAAGAAGAAUUGUGUAUUGAUUCUUGAUGAUGUGUGGGAACAUCUUGAUCUUGAAGAGUUGGGAAUCCCUAUUAGAGCACAUGGAUUUGAGUUCAUCUUAACCACUCGAUCCUUUGAUGUGUGCUGCCAAAUGCAAUAUCAAGAAAAGAUCAAAAUCAAGCCUCUAUCUCAAGAAGAAGCCGAGAGUUUGUUUUUGGAGGAGCUUGGACCCGAAAUGCCACUUAAUUUGGAAAUUGAAGCAAUUGUGAAGUCCAUUGUUAAAGAAUGUGCAGGCUUGCCGAUUGGAGUAAUCACGAUGGCGAGAAGCAUGCGAGGAGUGACCGAAGUGUUUGAAUGGAGGGAUUCCUUGGUGAAAUUGAAAGAAUCGACUAUUAGACAAACAUAUAUGGAAGGUUUUAAGAAUUUUGAAAUUUAGUUAUGAUUGCCUUGGUAAUUCUAAUGUCCAACAAUGUUUCUUAUCUUAUGCACUUUAUCCAAAUGAUGGAUUAAUUGGUGGAUUGAGUACGAGUAAUGAACAAUAUGAUAGAGGGCUCACCAUAUUGAACAAAAUGAGAAAUGUUUGCCUAUUGGAAGGUCAGCACAAGAGAGGGAUGUGGAUGAAGAUGCAUGAUUUGAUUAGAGACAUGGCAUUGCAUAUCAUGGGUGUGACUUUCAUUGUAAAAGCAAGAAAGCAAUUGAUGAGGAUUCCAUCCGAAGAAUAUUGGACUGAUGCUUUGGAGAAAGUUUCUCUAAUGAAUAAUAACAUUAAAGAUUUUCCAUUGGACAUGUCGCCAAAUUGCCCUAACCUAUCAACUCUUCUAUUAAAAAAUGGCUUGUCGCAUGAUGCGGUCAUCCCUGAUUCUUUCUUCAAAAAUUUAUGCGGGCUAAAGGUUCUAGAUUUGAGUGGAAAUGAUAUGACAAAACUUCCAAAUUCCAUCUCAAACUUGGUAAACUUGAGAGCACUAUUGCUCAGACAUUGUCAGGAAUUGCGCCGUGUUCCUUAUCUAGGAAAGCUCACAUCUUUAAGAAAGUUGGGCGCUGAAUACUGUAGGAGUCUUGAAGUGCUUGAGGGUUUGGAAAAGUUGGUGAACUUGAGAUACCUUAACCUAACUGGAACACAUAUUGAGAGAUUGCCCAAGGGAAUGUUGGACCAUUUAUUACACUUGCAAUAUCUUAAAUUUUCGGUGGUAAAUGAAGAAGACAUUACGAAAUUGGGGGCAUUGAAGACAUUUGGAUGCUACCUUAAAAAUGUGGAUGAUUUCAACAAGUGUGUGAAGGCUAUUGAGCAUAGUAAUAACCCUCGCUAUUACGACCUCAAAGUGGAUCGAGAAAAACCAGAGUUUAUUGCGAAAGUAAGCGAUGAUACUCAAUUUGGGAAUUUGAGGAGGAGAGUCAUCAUUUGGGAUUGGAGUCAUGCCAUUUUGAGCGUGGGAGGCGAUUGCACCAGCAUUUUUAUUUUGAUUCCCCAAGAUGCGCAGAUAAUGAUAAUGAGAAAAUACGACGGUAUAACAAAUUUGUCUGGCAUGCGUCUGCUUGAAUACCUUGAGGAGCUAAAUAUAGAAGAAUGGGAAAACUUAGAGGUGCUCUAUGGAGGACAAGACAAAGAAGUAAUCGUCAUCCAUGACUCCCUUACCCCAACCCCUACCUUUCCGCUCUUCCCCAACCUUAGGGUUUUGCGAAUAGAAAAAUGUACGAAAUUGAAGUAUCUCUUUGGGCAUGGGUCUAAAACCAACCUUCCGCAUCUACGAGACAUUCUAAUAUAUGGAUGUGAGGAAAUGGUGGGGAUAAUAGCAGCAGUUACAUCCCCACCACCACAUCCGCUCCCAUUUUUCCCUAGUCUGGAACAGAUUACUAUUGAAAAAUGUAAUAACAUGAAGAGAGUGGUGGAAUCUGAGUGGAUGCCCCACUUCCCUAAUCUAAGAAGAAUCUAAGUAUUCAAAUGUGAGAAGAUGGAGGAGAUAAUCGAAGGUCGUCCCCCAUACUUGCCAGUUGAAGGCAUUUCUCUCGAAUCUCUUACGGUAAUAGAUUGCGGUAACAUGAGAAAGCUGCUUCCGCAUGAGUGGCUGCUCCAUCUUCGAAAACUUCGAAAGAUCAUGGUCUCAUCGUGCAAUGGAAUGGUGGAGAUGAUAAGUGGAGCGGGACAAGGUCAAGAAGGAAGCUUAACGACUCCCUGUAAACAACACCCCUUCAUCCUUCCAGCCUUCUUCAAUUUCUCCCCCAAAGCUGGAGUGGUUGGGACUACUCAAUCUACCCCAGCUGAAGAGCAUAUGCGAAGUCCCAAUAAGCUGCGAUUCCAUGAAAAAUUUGACGGUGUACGGAUGCCAAGAACUGAAGAGGAUUCCUUUGCAACUGCGAUUGUGUGAAAUUGAGGAGCUUCCACAUAUUUGGGUGGAAGAUGAGGAAAAGUGGAAGACGCUAAUUUGGGAUCAUCCCAAUGCUCAGGCUACUCUUAAACCUUAUCUCCUAAAAGGGAAUCACACUAAUAGAGAAAGUCCUUUAUUUUGGGAGGGACCGAGUCCUCCAAGUGCUAUAGGUUAAUGAGUUUAAUCGAUAUACAAUUGCUUCACUUCUUAAAAGUCCUUAUAAAGAUGUAGCUUCUCUGUCUAUAUAGUCAUGCAGCUCUAAUAGUGGCCUUUUGCAGAACUGUCCACCAAGGGAGAGGAUCUCUAGUGACUCUGCUCUUGAAGAAAGCCCUACUGCUCGACCAUGCUUUCCUGCAAACUCGACUCAGGUUGUCAUAUAAUUUGACUUUUUUCGUGUAUAUUUUGAAUGUGUUCGCAUGUUUUAUUGACUAUUGGAAAUGAGUCAAUCUGGUCGAUAUUUCAGGUUAGUCAAAAAACAACGGAUCUGAAGAUUUAGGAAGCUAAGGGACGAGCAAAGCCUGUUUCCUAUCUUGUCUUAUAACCGAAAGGACAAUUUAUUAUUAUGGAUUGAUCUUCCUAGAAUAUUAGCCUUCUAAGAAAAGAGAGAAUUUUGGGCAGCACUACCUUUUAAUAUGCUUGUGUUUAGAAAGGAUUUCAAAUAUGAUAUUGCUAUAACUUGUCGAUCAAAAAUGUUGUGCCACAUAUGCUGCUUUGCUCUCUUGGAUCAGAGCAACAUGACUCUGAUUAAACUUGUUUCGACAUUAAACUAUCGGAUAUAGAAUACUUGAUCUGCUUAGUAGUUGUAUCAUAUCUGGAAACGUAGGCUGGAAAGUUUUCUUUUCACCCUUUGUUGUAAAAUUUCACCUCAACCCCACUUUGAGUUAUAAAAUAAAAAUCCAUCACCCCUCUUUUGAUUCCUUGAAGUCGUAAAUAGAUGGAGAACCCUACAGCUUCAGCUUAAGUUGCCAAAAGAUUAGAGCAGUUACCACUAGCAAGUUAGUGGUGAAAAGGCCAACUUAUUGGACAUGGCACUUUCGGAAAUGUUUACAUUGCAAGCAACAGGUUAGCUAGCUCUGGUAAACUUUGACAUGUUCCAAUUUUCUAGAUAUCCAGUCAGCUAAACUUUGACCUAUUAGGUGACAGAGAAACCAGAUCUUUAUGUGCAUUGAAGGAGUUUGAGCUAUUGCCUAAUGAUCCAAAUUCAGCUGAGUGCAUGGGGCAGUUAAAGCAGGUAAUGUCUUUGUUAUGCUCCGGGAUCCAAUCUAUUCUCUCAUCUGAUCUAAAUAUGCUGGGAGGAAAUUUUUUUUUAUCAUUUCUAGGUAAUUGAUUGCUUUGCUACUACAGGAAAUUCAAGUACUUAGCCAGCUUAGACAUCCAAACAUUCUGCAGUAUUAUGGCAGUUAAAUUGUGAGUCACCUUUCCACGGCAUCUACACGACCCAGAUCAAUGGGCAUUCAUAAUUUUACUUACCGAAAUUCCAACAUAUUCAUACAUACUUAGGUUGAGGAUCAACUUAAAAUAUAUCUAGAAUAUGCACAUCACGGUUCGAUAGACAAGUAUAUUCAGGAGCAUCUUAGGACCCUAACAGAAUCGGUUGUUCACACUUUUACCCUCCAUAUUGUGGCUGGAUUGGCUUCCCUGCAUCUUAACAACUCCAUACAUGGGUAAUUCUAAACCAUUGAUCAAGUAUCAUGAGAUGACUUGCAUACUAGAUUAGGAUGAUUGGACCUUCUUCUUUGUCCCUAUAGACCUGUUAAAACUCUUUGGCUUGCGCAGGGAUUUAAAGGGAGCUAAUUUAUUUGUGGAUGCAUAUGGGAUAGUUAAACUUGCUGACUUUGGGAUUGCUAAACAUGUGAGUUUCCACCUCUUCACUGCAAGACUACUGAGUGCAUGUAGAAAUUCCUUGUUGAUCUAUGGUGCAUUCGAAUGUUAAGUCAGGAACCCAGGGUGACUGCAUACUUCUCAUUAAUGGUUUGUGGCAUUUCAUAUAUGCAAAAAUCCAUUAUAGAUGGAUGAAAUGUUAUUGAGUAAUUUUCUUCACUUUUUUUCCCAUUGUUUCGGGUAAAGUUACUAUGUUGCAUAAACUAGAAAAGAUUUCUUGUUAUAAAUAGAUGCUGAAACCUACUGAGAGUUCUUUCCUUUUCUACUGGUUUCUAAAAAGUUCCUAAGAGAGGUAGUGAAUAAAACGCAAUACCUUUGGCGAAAGGUUGUGGUUUUGUUUUUGCUGCUUCUCUGCAUUCCCAAAGAAGGAUAGAAUUUAGUUAGAGUAAAGAAAGGCCUCCUUCCUAACAUGGGGUUAAUAAAAGUGUAUUGGUCCAUAGAACGGAAUUCUAGACAAUAGCCACGGUACUGUUGGUCUCUUUUUUGAGUUCUCAAACAUUUGCUGAGACCAUGUUGUUGAUUGCUUCAUGGUCAUUUUUCUCAGUAAUGAGCUAACAUAAGUUGAAAGUGGUUGAUUUAGUUAUCAAUCUGAUGUAUUUAUAUCUAUAAAGAUGUUGCUAUUUUAUCCAGUGUUCCAUGAACACACUAGGUAGUCUUCGACUCUACUAAUCUCUUACCAUUUCUUAGCUAACCGGACAAGCAGCUUCUUGCUCUUUGAAGGAAGUCUAAACUGGAUGGUUCCCGAGGUACUCUGCUUUGGUGAAUGUUAACGCUGCAUUCUUUUUUUGUCGUGACGGAAUGAUGGAAUAAUAUAUCCAGCAGCUCAUACAAUCCUUGAUGGCAAAUAAUUACAGCACAGAUCUCGAUUGUAUUGUCGACUUGUGGAGUUUGGGAUGUACUAUUACCGAAAUGAUAAUUGGCAAACCUCCUUGGAGUGAGUAUGAGUGGGUAGGUACGCUGCAUUGCUUUUUCAUUUUCUCUGUUUGUCCCUCCAAGUAAUACGCUUCCAACCAAAUCUGCAUCGUCGUCUGGAAGAGAUUAUUGUUUGGGACUGUGGUAAAAUGAAGAGAGCAGUGGAAUCUGAGUGGAUGCCCCACUUCCCUACUCUGAGAAGAAUCACAGUAUAUGAAUGUGAGAAGAUGGAGGAGAUAAUCGAAGGUCCUUUCUCAUACGUGCCAGUUGAAGAGAUUUCUCUUGAAUCUCUUGAAUCUCUUGAAGUAGCAAAUUGCAAUAACAUGAGAAAGCUGUUUCCGCAUGAGUGGCUGCUCCAUCUUCGAAAUCUUCAAAGGAUCGAGGUCGAUUAUUGCAAAGGAAUGGUGGAGAUGAUAAGCGGAGCCAGACAAGGCCAAGAAGGAAGCACGGUGACUCCUGUAAAUAACACCCCUUCAUCCUUCCAGCCUCCUAUUUCUCUCCCAAAGCUGAAGUUCUUGGGUCUAUGGUCUUUGCCCCAGUUGGAGAGCAUAUGCGAAGUCCCAAUAAGCUGCGAUUCCAUGAAAGAAUUGACAGUGUCCGGAUGCCCAGAACUGAAGAGGAUUCCUUUGCAACUGCGAUUGCGUGAAAUUGAGGAGCUUCCGCGUUUAUGGGUGGAAGAUGAGGAGCAGUGGAAGACGCUGAUGUGGGAUCAUCUCGAUGCUCUGGCUAUUCUUCAACCUUAUCUCCAAAAAUGGAAAUACGCUGUAAGUAAUGAGUUAAUUGUAUACGAUUGCUUCACUUCUUAAAAGUCUUUACAAAGAUGUAGCUUUUCUGUCUAUAUAGUCAUGCAGCUCUAACAGUGGCCUUUUGCAGAACUGGACGCCAGGAGAAAGGAUCUCCCUUGGCACUGCUCUUGAAGAAAGCCCUGCUGCUCGACCAUGCUUUCCUGCAAACUCGACUCAGGUUGCCAUAUGAAUUGACUUUUUUCGUGUGGCCAUGCUUUGUGUAUUUUCAAUGCGAUUGCAUGUUUUAUUGACUACUGGAAAUUAGUCAGUUUGGUCGAUAUUUCAGGUUAGUCAAAAAACAACGGAUCUGAAUAUUUGGGAAGCCAAGGGACUAGCAGAGGUCUGUUUCCUAUCUUGUCUUAUAACCGAAAUGAAAAUUUACUAUUAUUAAUUUAUCUUCAUGGAAUAUUAGCCUUCUAAGAAAAGAGAGAAUUUUGGGCAACACUACCUUUAAUUUGUUUGUGUUUAGAAAGGAUUUUAGAUAUGAUAUUGCUCAAACCUGUCGAUCCAAACUGUUGUGCGAUAUACGCUGCUUCGCUCUUUUGGAUCAGAGCAACAAGACCUCGAUUGAACUUGUUUCGACAUUAAACUGUUGGGUAGAGAAUACUUGAUCUGCUUAGUAGUUGUAUCAUCUCUGGAAAUGUAGGCUGGGAAGUUUUCUUUUCACCCUUUGUUGUAAAAAUUCACCUUAGCCCCACUUUGAGUUAAGAUGUAAGAAGAUGAAGAAGAAAGAAUUGCACAGCUAUCAACCCUCUUUUAAUGCCUCUAAGUCGUGGAUAGAUGGAGAACCCUACAACUUCAGCUCAGGUUGUCGAAAGAUCAAGCAGUUACCACUAGCAAGUCAAUGGCAAAGAGGCCAGCUUAUUGGAUGUGGCACUUUCGGAAAUGUUUACAUUGCAAGCAACUAGUAAGUUAUCUUUGGGAAACUUUGACAAGUUCCAUUUUUUUUCGAUAUCCAGUCGGCUAAACUUUGACAUAUUAAGUGACAGAGAAACCAUAUCUCUAGGUGCAUGGAAGGAGCUUGAGCUAUUGCCUAAUGAUCCAAAUUUAGCUCAGUGCAUGAGGCAGUUAAAGCGGGUAAUGUUUUUAUUAUGCUCUAGGAUCCAAUCUAUCCUCUCAUCUGAUUUAAAUAUGCUGGGAGGAAACUUUCUUUCAUCAUUUCCAAGUAAUUGAUUGCUUUGCUACUACAGGAAAUUCAGGUACUUAGCCAGCUUAGACAUUCGAACAUUAUACAGUAUUAAGGCAGUGAAAUUGUGAGUCACCUUUCCACGGCGUCUACGCAUCCCAGCUCAAUGGUCAUUCAUUAUUUGACUCACCAAAAUUUCAACAUUUUAUACAUACUCAGGUUGAGGAUCAUCUCAACAUAUAUCUAGAAUAUGAACAUCAUGGUUCAAUAGACAAGAAUAUCUAGGAGCGUCUUGGGACCCUAACAGAAUUAGUUGUUGCACUUUUACUCGCCACAUUGUUACAAAAUUGGCUUCCCUGCAUGUUGACAACUCCAUAUAUGGGUAAUUCUAAACCAUUGAUCAAGCAUCAUGAGAUGACUUGCGUAUUGGAAUAGGAUGAUUGGACCUUCUUCUUUGUGCUUACAGACCUGUUAAAACUCUCUGACUUGCGCAGGGUUUAGAGGGAGCUAACUUAUUUGUGAAUGCAUCUGGGAUAUUCGAACUUGCUGACUUUGGGAUUGCUAAACAUGUGAGUUUCCACCUCUUCACUACAAGACUACUGAGUGCAUGUUGAAAUUCCUUGCUGAUCUGUGGUGCAUUCAACUGUGUACUUCUCAUUAUUGGUUUGUGGCAUAUCAUAUGUGCAAAAAUCUAUCGUAGAUGGAUGAAAUGUUAUUGAGUAAUUUUCUUCACUUGUUUUCCCAUUGUUUUGGUUAAAGUUACUAUGUUGCAUAUAUGGGAAAAGAUUUCUUGCUAUAAAUAGAUGUCGGAACCUAAUGAGAGUUCUUUCCUUUUCUACUGAUUUUUAAAAAGUUCCUAAGAGCGGUAGUGAAUUUGUAAUACCUUUGCCAAAAGGUUGUGGUGUUGUUUUUGCUGCUCCUCUGCAUUCCAAAAGAAGGAUCAAAUUUAGUCAGAGUAAAGAAGGGCCUCCUUCCUAACAUGGGGUAAAUAAAAGUGUAUGGGUCCAUAGAACGAAAUUCUGAACUAUAGUCAAGAUAUUGUUACACUCUUUUUGAGUUCUCAAGCAGCAUUGGCUGAAGUCAUGUUGUUGAUUGCUUCAUGGUCUUUUUUACUAAGUAAUGAGCUAACAUAAGUUGAAAGUGGUUGAUUCAGUUAUCGAUCUGAUGUAUCUAUGUCUAUAAAGAUGUUGCUAUUUUAUCCAGUGUUCCAUGAACACACCAAGUAGUCUUUGGCUUUAAUAAUGCCAUACCAUUUCUUAGCUAACCGGACAAGCAACUUACCGCCCUUUGAAUGGAAGUCUAAACUGGAUGGCUCCAGAGGUACUCUGCUUUUGUGAACGUUAAUGCUACAUUCCUUUUUUUGUCGUGGCAGAAUGAUGGAAUAAUAUAUCUUGCAGCUCAUGCAAUCCUUGAUGGCGAAUAAUUACAGCACAGAUCUCGAUCAUUCUGCCAACAUGUGGAGUUUGGGACGUACUAUUAUUGAAAUGAUAACUGGGAAACCUCCUUGGAGUGAGUAUGAGUAAGUACGCCGCAUUGCCUUUUCAUUUUCUCUGUUUGUCCUUCCAUGUAACACGCUUCCAACCAAAUCUGCGUUGCCGUUUUCUGUGGGAAGUUCAGGGUCGUGUACAUCGCCAUUUGGUAUGUGAUCUGUGUCAUGCGUUUCUGUUUAAGGUUGAAUCAUUAAUGUAGGCUCAAGCUACAUUUAAGGUGAUUUGAAGUUCUCUAGCAAUACCUGAGACGUUAUCUGCCGAGGGAAAGGAUUUCCUGCAAUGCUGCUUUCGAAGACAGUCUGUCGAGAGGCCUUCAGCUGCUAUGCUACUUGAGCAUGCUUUCCUGCAAAUCUGAAGUUGCAGAUGACUGACCUAUUUCAAGUGCCAUAUGUUGUCACAAAAGGGUUGUUGUCCUGUAAAGUUCCAUAUUGACUAAACCAGAAGGAUCACACGGUCCAUAGAUGUGAUAAAGUACUUGUAUAUCGACAAAAUAAGACGGAUGUUCCUCUUGCAUGGUCUGACUAGCGGCAUACUGAUCUAGGCAAUUUAACAGUGUUGCUUAAUCUAAACCUUUUAGUGUAGAGUGCAUUCUUAUCAUAAACAUUUUGUGCGAAGUACAUUUAUUCAUCAAAAUUGAAUGGUAUUGAUUUGGCUCCAAAUAAGCAACAGAUCAGUGAAACAAAAGCAGGUAAACCCAGAAAAGAGGAGAAAAAGAAAAUCGAAGCGAUAGUGCAUCAGAAUUCCUGAACUAAUUUUGAAAGCAAAUACUUUGUCGGUUUGGUGGGAGGAACAUUGGCAGGUUUGGCAAACCUGCAGUGUCUUAGGAUUGCAUUAGAGGCUCUUGAUUCUUCCCUUCAACAAAUACAUGAGAUUUUCUCCGACCAGAGUGGCCCUCAUCACUAUCACCAAAUUCCGGUGAAUCAAGAAAAGCCAUCGUGGUCUGUCUCUGAAUUUAAAUGAUGAUGAGGAUCCAAGAUUUAUAACUUCCGAGAGGAGAAUCAACGUUAAUUGUUGUGAUUAUGCUCUUGUCAGGGCAGUGAGGGGAAAGUCUUUCCCCUAUUGGUUUUGCUCCCAAGUGAUGCUGCAAGUUUACUGUAUUUUCCCCUUAUGGUUGUUUGUCAUUUCGUGGACCAUUUUUAGAAUAACUUUGCAUCUCCUCUCUAUAAAAUACAAACAACUGAUGAAAUCUGUUGAAAAUAUCUCACACCGGUCUUUUACAAGAUUUUAAUGGGCCUUACAUUCAUAUAAUUUACCUUCACUUGUUCAAAUUUUUAGGUUGGACUUUCUCUUAUGUGCAAAUAGCAAUUUCUGCUUGAAAUGAAGAGUAAACAUGCUUCCCUUUUUUAACUAUUUUUUCUACGAUUAAAGUGAUUCCUCUACCCUAUACUAGAAAUAUAUAAAGUGUCACAGAAAAAGAAACUCCUCGAAAUUUUGUAAAGUCGGAGGCGCAGCUCAGAUUGAGCUAUGACUCUCAACUGCAUUAAAUUCUCUCUUCAUUUUCGUCUUCUUUUGUUCUUUUCCUCAAUUUUUAGCCAACAUCCUAACCAUAAGGCGCCUUUUCUCUUUUGUCCCUUAUCUCUCCCCCUUUUCUUCGUACACCUCACUCUUCUUUUCCUGCCUCUUUUUUUUUUGGUUCUCUGCCCGAACCCUUAACGAAGACAACUAAUUGGUAUUUAGUUUUCCAAAGUGUAGCAUUAUUGAGCACCAUCAUCGACCAUCAAGUUCGCUAAACUCAACCAUCAAUUAACUAACUAUUCUUGUUUAACAGGCCAGGCCAACGCUCGCUUGGGCAAGGGCGAGCCCCGGUGAGGGCUCCCAUUAUUUAAAAAUAUUUAAAAAUUAUUAAAAAAUUAUUAAAAAUGAUCUACGUCAGCGCCAGCGGUCCUACGUGGCACCACCAAUGUCCACAUCAGCAUUUUUCGGCCAAAAUUGACCAGAUGGACUGAAUUGGCAAUAAGUGAAAACGUUUAAGACUGAAUUGGCAAAAUUAAAAAUGCAAUAGGUUUAGGACUUUUUGGACAAUUUUCCCGAAAUAAUUGCGAUACCAAAUGCUAAAGGGCAAGACGGGAGACUUUUAUACGAAGUGAAUGGAAGCAAAGGUGCUUCUGAAAAGGGCAUUUUCAGAAGGAAAAGUGCUUGUGCAGCUAAGGGGGGAAAGAGGGGAGUCUUAUAAGAACUGAGGUAAAAGUGCUUGCAAAAAGGACAUUUUCGGAAAAAAAAAAAGUGCUGGUCAUAAGAGCUUUAUAAAUAGUGAUAUGGCUUCUUAUAAAACGUUUUAUACGAAGUCGGAAAAGUUUUGUAAGAAGUGACGUGGCUUCCUCUAUAAGGGCAAGGCAGGAGACUUUUAUAAGAAGUCAAUGAAAGCGAAAGUGCUUCCGAGAAGGGCAUUUCGGCAGGAACAGUGCCUGUGCAGCUAAGGGGGAGACAGGAAAGUUCUAUAAGAACUGAGGCAAAAGGGCUUCCAAAAACAGCAUUUUCGGAAGAAAAAGUGCCGGUCAUGAGAGCUUUAUAAAUAGUUACGUGGCUUCUUAUAGAACGUUUCAUACGAAGUCGGGAAUGUUUUGUAGCGGCUGACUUCGUAUAAAACGUUUGACUUCGUAUAAAACGUUUAAAUGUUUUAUACGAAGUCAGGAAAUUUUUGUAAGUGACGCGGCUUCUUUCUCAUGAAAAGCCCCCAGAGGACGCCGUUCUUCUUUUAAAACUCUCCUGGCCAGCACAUUUUUUUCAAUUCACUUCUUAUAAAACUCUUGUCUCGCCCCUUAGCAUUUGGCACCGCAUUUCUCUCACAAAACAAUUCACUCAUGGGGAAUGUUUUUACGCGCCAUUGUGAAGACGCGAUCAUUCCUGAAGCUGAAGCUGUGGUUAUAUCUGGUAAUUUUCUCUUCUUCAUCUUCUUCAUCUGUGAUUCACGGUCACCCAUAGACGUUUGAGUUGAGUUUGAUUCUUAUGUUAAAAUUUACGUCCUUCAUUUCCUUGAGAUUCAAUUGUUUCGCUUAGAAAGUUUGUCAACUAGAUAAGGGCUGGUGAUGAUGUGUUUAAUGCACUUUUGUAGGUCAGAUUUGGCGAUUAUGUGUUUGUUUUUCUCACUUUUAAGCUUCUAAAGUACAGAGAACUAGUCUUUUGAUAGUUACAAAAAGUACAGAGAAGUAGUCUUGUAAAGGUUGAUCCACUGGUAGAAUUGUGUGGCAAUCAUUAUGAGACCGUGAUGUAAUGCCUCUUUAUUUUUCUAAUCCAUAGAUCUAUUUCCCAUGUCUACCAUUCGUAAUGAAGAAGAGGGCAGUGAAGAAGUUGAAUUACAUGAUGAAUUUGCCAUCAUCAAUGUCCCCAUUCAAGGUGGAGAUGGCAAUACCAUACCCAGUGAAGAAGAGGGCGGUCAAGAAGUUGAAUUACACGAUGAAUUGAUUGCCGUCAUUAUCCCCAUUCAGGGUGGAGAUGGCAAUACCAUACCUAGUGAAGAAGAGGACGGUCAAGAAGUUGAAUUACACGAUGAAUUGAUCGCUGUUGUUGUCCCCAUUCUGGAUGGUGAUGGCAAUGGUGACGGCCAUAUUGAGGAUGGCGACAACAAUGUUGGUGAGCAUGAAGUGGAGCAAGAGGUGCAGGAGGUGGAGAAUGAGCAGGACGGCGGCGAGGGGGCUGGUGUGGGGGUUGUUGUUGGUCCUGCCGUUGCUGGUAAUAGAGCUGGCUUUAUUGUUCUGGCAACGGUGCUAGUGGGGGCGCUCGUCUUGUGGAAGAUGCGGCUGAUAACACUGUUAGAGUUGCUUUUGAUGGUGGUGGUAGUAUUGGCAGUAGCCUUGCUCCUUGGGCGCAUGGAUUGGCUAAACUUGAUAUGGAUCUUAAUCCUAAGACUCAAUAUUAUCCUAGUAUGAUGGAGAGAUUGACGCGUGGAUUGCCACGUGAGAUGUCUAGGUGGACUUCUUUGGAUGAUUUUCAGUAGAACAUUUUUGUUGCAGGAACCUCUGUUUGUAUCCUUAUUUCAUCAUGUAUACAUUUGUAUCAUUACUGGUUAUGUUGUCAAUGUACUUGGAAGGAAUAAACAUAUUCAUAGUUUAUUAACAGCUGAUUGUUCUCCUAUUGGUAUAAUUUAAGUACGCAUACGUAAGGAAUGGAGUAAGUACGGCCAUAACGAUUAUUCUCUAAUUUUAUGCGAGACUUAGAUAAAUUAGCCUCCCUAUACCAUAAAACCCGGUGGCAAUUUGAUGAACCGUCAUGUUUUCUUAGGAUUAGUAUGUGCACAAGUAGUUACGGAAUCUUAACUUUCACGUAAGAGGAUGGUCAGUAAGCUUUUCUUUGCCCAUGAGCUUAGCUCUCCUUUUUAUAUUCAGCUGGACUCAUCAAUGACAGAGGGUCAUUUGAUUCAAUCUUCUAUGUGAUGUUGAUGCAUAUAUGAUUACAUAUAAAUAGACGUGACAAAUGAGUGGACUGAAUUGAUUUUGGAUGGAUUAUCAAUAGGUUCAAUUCAAAUUCACGCAUUUAAUUCACGUUGACCCAUUUAUUUUCUGCACAAUUUAUAUGACACAUAGCCAAUCCAAACCCACCAACAUAACUCACAAUUUUUUUUAUUAAUACCAAUUAAACAAUUAUCAAAUUAAAAUAAUAAAAAUUAAUAGGGAUAAAUACACUUAAAAUCCUAAAAUUUGUCAUGAAGUAUAAUUAAAUCCUAAAAUUUAUCACAAAAAUUCAAUUGAAUUUUAAAAUUUUCAAAAAUAGUAAUUUAAGGGAUUUUUUUUCCCCUUCGCAGGCUCCCCUUUUCUCUCUCUCCAUGCCCGCUUUUUGGAAUUAAAGAGGAGAAGAAUGAAUUUUUCGCACUAACCUCCUUCUACUUCCUCUGCUUCUUCACGAACGACCAUAAGCCUUCACAAACCGAUCCCUUUUUUCUCUGCCAUGCUUUAGUCGAGCCGUAGCAGUUGUCCUUUGACCCGGAUGUUGCCGGUGACACCGUGGCCCGUCUCUGAGCUCGACGGCGAGAAUUGAGCCACCUAGAUUCAUCUUGCGCCUCUAUCUCUCUCGUCAUCCCCUUUCGACUUCGGAUGGGGCUGAUUCGAGCCAUUGACAUAAUUUCGUCUCAGAUUCACGGCCGAGUCGAGGCAUAGAUCUGAGAUCUAGGGCUCAAUCGAGCUCCACCAAAGGCGAGGGCUCAGUCGAGCUACACCAGAGGCGAGGGCUCUUGGGAGUUAUGUUCAGAUGAUCAUUACAUGAGAGACCCAUGCCAGUACCUACUCAAGGACUACUGCUUUGGAUUGUGCCUAAGAGACAGAAAUGAUCUUUCCUUGACCAUCCAGGACUUCAACUAUGCCAGCUUUUCAGGACUUAGCUACAUCAAACAUCCCCAUUAGUGGAUAAAAGUUGAAACGCCAUUAACCCGAGAAAGAAGCCAGUGCUUUUAGAAACUCUUCUGGAUAACAUAACAAAGUGCAUUCUGCCAAUGGUAUAUGCUUUCAUUUUAUAUGAAGCUAUAUGCAUGUCGUCAUUACAAAUUUAAAAUUGAGCUCGACUGCCCAGUAUUCAUGCAAUUUUCCUUAUCUUAGCCCCUCCAGAAACUAUCAAUGCUUGCUAUAUUAAUAAAACCAAAUGCUAUUUGAACAGAACAAGGCCUAAUUUUUCUUUUGCUCUUCCAAUUUCUUUGGGUUGGUUUGAAUUUGAUUUAAUUUUUGUGUUUUUCCCUUCUUUCUUGCCUUUUACCUAACAAACCAUGAUAUUUCAACAAACAGUGAUGACAAAGCAUCAAAUUAUGACAAGGAGAUUCAUUUAUAUUGAUUGAAUCAUGCAAUAGUGAAGUUAAAGUUAUUUAUAUUAGUUGAAAGGUGAUCAUUCUUGACAUGGAGUGACAGCAAAAUACUUUCGUACUUUCUCUUCGUAAAGUGAAUAUUGUUUUACUCUUCUAUUUAAAAUCUAACAUGUAGAAAGUAAUUAACUAAGCUAAAUAAUAUAGAGUAAUUUGAGAAAUGGCAAUAUCUAUCCGAAUUCCAACAUGUCAACACAUUGAACUUUGAUGUAAUUACAUAUAUCUGUGCACGUCAUACUCUAGUAUUCCAUUGAAUUACAGCAUAAAUGCUAGAGUAUAUAUUUUGAUACUCAACCUAGAUACUCAACCCAGUGUGCUUGCUGGUAGUCAAUAUUGACAAAGUUAAAUAAGAGAAUCACAGUGCAGAAAAUCAGCGCAUCUUUGGCUGAUUCAACUUAGAAAUAAUUAAGAGGGAAAGGACCUAUAGGCUCUUAAGUCUUUGCAGAACUAGUGAAGAGCUUUAAAAUGCCAAGGCAGGCGAUUGGGAUGCAUGAGAUUCUGCAAAACCUUGAGAAGUGCAAAAGACAGGGGACAGCAGAGACCUCAGUUAAUGCAAAUUCAACAGGCACAAAUGAUCAAUGCAAUCAUGCGAUAUGAACUUGAACAGAAAAUUGCCCAAGAGCUCAUUAUGGCAGGGCAAGCUGGAAGAGGCUUACCCUGAAGUGGAUUUACCCAAUCUUUCAUCUUUACAUCGUCUCUGAUCAUCGACCAUCGACUCGAAAACAUCUAACAGUUGAUCCAGUCCCUCUGGACUGCCCCCAACUGCCUUCAUCGCGUAGAUGGCACUCUCGAGAGUGGACAAACAUCCAGCCUUAGGCUGACUUCUAACUUCUCUGUACAAGCUCAUCACCUCCAAAUCCAACUUCAGAUGAGGCAACAGCUUCAACCAAGGAUUCUCGCUGUACAUUCUCUUUGCCUUCAUCCACGUGCCGUCCAGCAAGAUCAAGUUCCUGACUUUGAACUCAGCUGCCUUGAGUUCAUCAAUGCUGAGCGCAUUCUUGGUCGGAAACAGAAGUACCGACCCGCGCGGCACUUCAAGUACGAAUUCCUCAGAUUCUUCAAGCUCCAAGCUCGAAUUCAAUACAAGGUUUUGCGAUUUCCUAACCACAAAUCCAUUCGACAGAACGUCAUGAGCUGACUGGCAAUCUAAUAUGGAAUCAAAAUCAGCUCCUCGAUGACCAAUUUGAGACAUCCAAACAUGGUCUAUCGAUUCAAUAAUCCCCUUCUUGCCCAUUCGAAAACUGAUAACAGGUUUGCUGGUACUUCUAGACAAGACUCCACAAGCGCGCGAGUUCUGCGGCACCUUGGAAUCCUCUGAAACCUCCCCACCGUUUGGGGCAAUCGAACCGCAGUCCCUUUCAUCCCCAGGACAAUAAGCUCCAUUCGAUUCGACGACCGAAUUAGGGCUUCCCACCUCCACUCCAGAUACCAAUCCAUUGGCGCUGAUUUCGCGGUCUUGCUCGAGCGGCGAGAUCGAGAACUCGACGCCGGAGUUGACGUCGGAAACGGCGGCGACGGCGACGUUCUUGAGCGCUAGCCUCAAGAUUUGGGUGGAAUUGAGGGGGUGCUUCCGCUCCAGGCUGUGCUGGAGGACAGUGACGCGGACGGGGUGGUCGAGACGCGGAGAUCGGAUCCGGGUGCAGAGGCACGUGCGCGCCGGCUUCGAGCAGGACGGGCAAACGGGUCACUUCGGAUUGGUGGAGCGGGCCGUUUCCGCCAUUUUCGCCGACCGCGGCGGACGCUGGCGGCGAUCCGGCUGGGGGAAGGAGGGAGCUUGAGGAGGAGGAGGAGGAUGGUCGGGGACGCGUAUCGAAACGGGCUCGGAUUCAGGUUCGGGAACGGGUUCGCGAAUCGGAUACGGGUUGCGAAAUGGACCCGCAUUUUCCCAGAAAUUGGGAGAUGAUUUUUGGGAAUCUGAAAAAAACGGUAGGGGCCGGAGCGGGCGGGGGCGCUGUUUGGCCAAAACGGUCGAGCAAAUGGUUUUGAAUUUACGAAAGAGCGUGCCAGCGGCGGCCUCUGUGAUUCAAAUCCGAAAAAUAGUGUGCAGAGGCCAAUCGAUGACUGCCGCCGUGAGGCAAGGUUGGAUAUCAUGAUAGCGACCAAGUGGUGGAGAUUGUUCUUGUGGGUUUAUCAUGCCAUGAGAUGGCAACUACUGCGGCGAUGGUCGAAAUCAGGAUGAUGAAUGACUGAAAUCAUGCAUCUAGACCACAGUAAGUAUCCACUUAGAUCAAAUGGUCAACAAGUUAACAAUUGAGGCCCAUGAAGAUUUUAGCAGAGGAAGUUGAUAUGUUCUUUAGAUCCUCGGACGGCGGUCGCGGUUUGCACUUCAGAUUGUAAUAGCAGCCUUGGGGUUCCUCCUUUCAAAGUCUUAUGGGUAUUUAUCACUUAGACGUCCUAAGCUUCAUAUCAGAUGCUAAUGAUGUUGCUGAACUUCACAUGAAAUCGCCUUCUUGGAAUUUGCAUGAGUAUUGUCCAAUUUCAACUUGGUGAGGAACUUUUUGGCCGAAAAAAUAAAUAAAUUUGGUUGAUGUUUCAGGUUAGCCAAAGGACGAUAUAUCUGAAUAUCUAAGAAACCAGAGGACUAGCAGAGUCUACUUCCUGUCUGGCUUAGAACUGAAAGGAAAAUUUAUAAAAAUUAUUAUAUGAUUGAUCUUUCCAAAAUGUUGCCUCCUAAAGAAAAGAGAGAAUUUUGGCCAAUACCGCCUUUAAUUUGUUUGUGUUUAGAAAUGAUUUUGAACAUGAUAUUGCAUAAACUUGUCAAUUGAAAAUGUUGUGCCACACAUGUUGCUACUCUCUCUUUUGAAUCAUACCAACUUGACAUGGAUUGAAUUGUUUCAACAUUAAACUAUUUAGAAUAUUUAUUCUACUUAGUGAUUUUAUCAUAUUUGGAAACAUAGGCCGGCAAGUUUCUUUUCGCUCUUUGUUGUCAAAAGAAGAAGAAAGAAUUGCAUAGCUAUCACCUCUGUUUUGACAAAUAUAGUAGCUUCCCAUGUCUGGGGUAAGACGGUGAAACUCGCAAGGGUUCGUCUUAAGUCAGCUUGUGCUUCGCACAAUGUCCUGUAACCGACUUGUUAGCUUAGUACCCCAAUUACCUUAUACUCCUUUUCUUCAAUUAUUAUUUUAGCACACAGAGAGAGGACCAAUGCUGAGGUCUUGAUGAGCACCGACUACCCUUGAGCAACCACUUCAACACUUCCUUGAAGAGAGAGGAAACACCCCUCCUUCUCUUCGUUUCCAUUUUCCUAUUAUUUUGUUUUUUGUUUUUUUUGGUGAUCUUUGCCUUUUAUUUUUUAAAAUUUUUUGCCUUUUCUUUGAGAUGUCACAUCAGCACCAUGCGUUCUAAAAUUUUUUAGAAAUGUCAUAUCUCCACUUUCAAAAGAAAUGAAAGAAACGUUGAAUAUAGACAGAGAAGGGGCUGGUCUUGUAUCCAAUUCAUGCCACGUCAGCAAGUUGGUAAUGUCCCUAGCCAUGAAUUAUGGAGGAACUUGAUUUCAUUAACAGAGAAAAGCUAAAGGACAUAUUUCUUCUUUUUCCCCCAAGAAUGACAGCACGUGUAUUCGGAGGAAGCUCCUCGAGGCACGGUCCGUCCUUCAGCCACAUGUUAGAUAUAAUAUUGGUAAAUGGUGAUGAACAUCAUAGUUUCUUAUGGAAUGAUCCUUGGCAUCCUCAUGCGGUGUUGUUUGGAUGUUUAUCCUAAAAAAUUAAUUUAUAAUGCUGCACUGGCCCUGAACUCUCUAGUUGCUGGUGUCAUUUAUGGAGAUGAGUGGGUUUGUCCUCCAGCAGGAUCAGAAUUUUUUGUGCAUAUUCAAGCAGCCAUAUGUGGAACGAUCUUUCCCCUGCUCUGCUUUUGAGGGCAGAGCAAUUUUCAAAGGAAAUUCCUUCGGAUGCUUUACUCAGCUGAUGCUUGGAAGCGAGUAAGGAUAAAAUGCAGAAGAUCUAAUCCAAGGCAUAAAUUCAGCUUUGUAGCUGCUUGCUAUCUUGAACAGACUGCAACUUGGACGGGAUAAAAUGGGGGUCCUCCAUUGAUGACAAAUGUGUCUUAUGCUCUUCUUCCCGAGUCUAGGAAACCUUUGUGUUUUGAGGGUGCCUUCUCAAAGGAUGGAGAUUUCUAAUGCGGCUGGUUAAAGUUUGUUGGAAUGUUAAUAAUUGGGAUAGAAUGGGUUCUCUAGAGCUUGUAGAGGGAGGUCUUUGACUAAAAUCGUAUUGAAACUCAUUUGGAAUGGUGCCAUCUACUCUAUUUUGGGGAUAGGAAUGAAGUUUUUCACAAUCAUGCUGCUCCUCCGUCUGCUGAAGCUGUUAAAAUGGCGGUCUUUGGUGUGAGACUUCGCAUCAAGAUGUUGCAAGAAACAAAGAGUCUUUCGAAGGAUGCAGAGAAAGCUUUGUGUAUGUUAUUUCGAAUUGUUUGUUAAGCCUGGGUGUUUUCUGUUGUUCUUUCUCUAGGCUUCAUAUACUAACCUGAAAAAAAGAGCUAACGGAAUUAAUUGCAAGUUAGAGGAUUUCACAGCACAAAAAUGAUAAAGCAAGACCGUAUCUCAUGAGAUACGGUUUUUUUUUUUUUUUUACCGACCAAAAAACAAAAGACCGUAUCUCAAUAUAAGAUUUGCAUUUUACGGGAUUGGUUCUUAUUUUCUUUUUAUGGUUUCGAGUGCCACUCACCACGUGUCAUCUUUCCAUGGAGGUUGGACCUGGCCGCUGGUUCCUUGAUGUUGGUCCGGUCCUGACUGCCAUUGACUCUGUUUUUCCAUUUCAUAAAAAUGCCCGACCAUUGAUCUUUCUCGAGUACCCCCAAAGCCUGACGAAUCCAUAAACUCCUGAAAAUUUAAAUUGGCAACCUCCUGAAAUUCCUGACGCUAAUUUCUUCCGUGGUCCAGAUUGCCAGAGCAGCUUCGGUCCUUCCUUUUCAUCUAUGUUUGCUACUUUGGAAUUUCCAAUUUCGUCGGUUCUUUUCUAUAUCUGCUAUUUACCCACUCUGAGGGAUCUUCAGGUGGUUCUACUUACUGGGCGAUUUUUCUUUCGUUUUUUUUUUUUUUUUGGUUGGAUGCUUACUGGGUGAUUGGGAAAGGGUUUAGUAUGGCUUCUUUUUUACAGAUGCAGAUCUUGUCUGACUUCAUUCUUUUCUAGUUAGCUCGAAGUUGUCUCCUCUCUUGUAGCUCAGAAUAAGAGAUGCCUAGAGAGGUUGAUCCAUUUCGGAGGCAUGUGGAGGUUGUGGCGAACAAGUGGAAGUGUAAGUUUUGUGGCAAGGAUUUUGGUGGAAGUGCUACAGGGAUCAGGGCACACCUCGUGGGGGCUCUGGACUAUGGUAUUAAACUAUGCGAGACAGUUGAUGAGCAUGUGGGAUCCCAAGCUUUGAAAGUGAUUAAAGGUAAAAGUGUGGCGGAUGCAACCAACAGGGGAGGCGCAUCUAUUGAGGUAAUGGGACGAAGAAGUGACGGCAUGGGCCAAAUUGUAGUCCUUGGUAGUGACCAUGCUUCGAGUCCCCAUAGUAUGCAGGACUCGAAUCGAAACGUCCUAGAGCAACCAUCUUGCCAUUGGCAGAAUGGAAGUGUUGCUGGUGCAGCUUCAGUAGAUUGUCAGUAUCAAGAGACCUUGUGUCUCGUUGGCAUGCCAGUGCGUGAUGCAGAAUUGCCCCCGCAAGGGCCGCAACCCAAUGGGUCAAUUCAACGCUUGAAUGAUGAACAUGGAAACGAAAAAACUUCAUCUCUCCAGCAACCUGCAACCGAUCCUUUGGCUUCGAUUUUUCUUGAUCCAAAGUCAACUACCAGAGCUCUUUGAUCAGUGUAUUGAUCUGGAGACGAGGCAUGAACAACGGAAUAGUAGAGGGCCAUCACCAUUGCAAAGUCAUCGAUCCCUUAAUAACAGCGUGACAAAUGAGUUGCAUCAAGUCAACUAGACCUGGUGGUGCUGCGCCUGGUCCCCGUCUCAGUGACACAAGUACAAUUGGCACUCCCCAGCAUCCCAAUCAAAACUAAUUUGGGCUUUGAUGAACAAUGGAGAGGUGAAAAUGCUCCAUGUCCGCAAAAUCUUCAGCAGAGUGGGUGACUUAUCUUCUCGAUAUGCCCUAUCAGCCACAGCAUUCCAUUCCAUCUUGUUAUUCUGAGGAAAUGCCAAUGAAUGACCUGCAGAAUCGAAUGGGUCCAUUGUCAUCACAAAAUGAUCAAUCCCUUGACGUUCAAAUUGUUUGCAAGACUGCAAUUAAAUCCCUAUUGCCGAAGUAGUUCCGCUGUCCAAUGCUACAAGCGUAACCAAUGCCGUUGAGCAUUUUAGUCGACAGCCACUUCUUAUACGUGAUGAAGAAUGUGAAAAUGAGAGUAGUUCCUUUCCCUCACAAGCUUCAAUGGACAUAUCUCCGCCAAGUGCAUCACAGCCUUCCUCUGGCCCUCAUUCUUUUGAGAAACCGGACGUAGAUUCCCAAGUUCCACAGGGCGGAACUAACAAGGCCCAUUGUCAUUACAAGGUAUGCGUUGAAGUGAUCCUUCUCUUCUCUUUUCUACUGUCUCCUAUUUAACAUCUCCCACGUUUUCCUAAUUAUAGGCGUAUCCUUGAAUGUUUCAUAUGUGUACUUUCUCUUAUUUUUUAAUGAUGAAUGUUAUAUGAGAAUAUCAAACGGAUGUAAAUGUUAGUUUCAGUGUAGAUGUUUUGUGGGAUUAAGUCUAGAUUUUGACUCUACUUACGCUUGUGGCUUGUUUUGAAAAUUCAAUGGUUGAUUGAUCAGGAUUGUUAAUGAUGAUUUUAAUCUGCUUUACUUUUGCAACCAGCUUCCAGGCACCCUCCAUGUCAAAGUCUUCUAGAUCAACCUCUUAAUCUUGAGACGAUGAACACAGAGCAUCACCCAAGCGUGUCAUCGUCAUCAUCACAGAGUAACCAGUUCUUGAUUACAUGUUUCCCACAAGCUCCGAUGGACAUAUCUGUGAGUAGUCCAUCAUCACCGCGAGGUACAUGUUAAUUCAUCUAAAUUGAUCCUUAUGUAUCCUGAUGCUACUUAAUUAGGGAGAAGCAUGAGUGCUUACAUUAGGAUCUAACACGUAGAAUUCUUGAUUCACAAUUAUCUAUUAAUAGAGUCAUUCAAACGCUGGCAACUUUGAAAAUAAUGGAGCUUUGAAAAGAAAGGUAGAAUGACUCUACAAUAGAGAAGCUGACAUAAAGAAUGAGUUGGAAUUUGCUGCAUCUCUAUCUCUGAAGAAGCAGAGAAUAGAAGUUGUGAAUUGGUUGACAAACGUGGAAAAGCAGAGGAAAAAUUUCCAAAGUCUUGAACCAGCCAGCGCAGAAAAUUUGCGACCACAAUAACAGGUGGACAUGUUGAUGGAAGAAGCGGGAAGACCUUAUCAUAAAAAGCAAAUUUCCAGAAGGACCGUUUGAGGUGGGAGAUGCCAAAGUCAAUAUAUUAUUAGAACGAAAGUUGCAGGCGGGAAAGGCAUUUGAGACAAAUAAAUACUAAGAAGAUCUUGAGGUGCCUAAUAGAGGAUCGCAUAUCAUGAUUAGGCAUUUACAAUAUGGGAGGUGUCGGGAAAACAACCAUUAUGGUGCACAUACAUAAUAGGCUCCUAGAAAAAGCAAACCAUAUUAAUGUAUUGUGGAUUGCUGUGUCACAAGAUCUCAACGUUUAUAAGUUGCAAGGUGACAUUUAGAAAAAAUUUCAUGCAUGGGUGUUAAUUUGGAUAAUGCUUACUAUUUAUUAAAACAUUGAAAAUAUAUCAUUUCGUAGAUUCUAAGAAGGAAUAAUAAUAAAAAAUUAAAGUAACGUGAGGUGGAGUAAAAACAAUCACAUCUUUAAGGGGUAAUAUCACCGAAAACCCAAAACUGGUACAUAUGCUCUAAAAUUAUUUUUAAACUUAAAUUGAUAUAUUUAUGGUAAAUUUAUCCUUUAAUAAUUUUCAUUAAAUUUUACAAUUAAAUUAUUAAGUUGGAUGACAUGUGGUAAUUGAUGAGUAUAUCAAUUUGGGAUUUUACCUUCAAUUUAUCAUAUGUGUAUGAAUUUGUAGUUUUUUGUAGUAUUAAUCAAAUGUAACGGAAAUCAAUGGAUGAUAAAUUUGUCACAAAUUCACAAGUUUUGAAUUUUUGGUGUAAAAAUUAGUUCGAGAUAAAUUUAUUACAUGUGUAAUAAUUUGGGAUUUUUGUAAUAUUAACCCUAUUUAAUUAGAGUAGAUUAAAAAAGGAUAUGAUAAAAUUAUAAGUGGUUUUUUUAGUUUAUAGAUAUAAAAUUCGGUCACGUCAAUCUAAGUACUAUUGAGGCACGUUAUUAAGGGGUCUAAUCGUCUCAUUCAAAAGGGCAUUUUCGGAAGAUAAAGUGCUGGUCAGGAGAGCUUUAUAAAUAGUGAUGUGGCUUCUUAUAAAACGUUUUUUGUCCUGACUUGGUAUGAAACGUUUUUUGUCCUGACUUGGUAUAAAACGUUUAAAUGUUUUAUACGAAGUCAGGAAAGUUUUGUCAGAAGUGACGCGGCUUCUUUCUUAUAAAAUGGCCCCAAAGGAUGCCCCACUCGACAUCACAGCACGGAGAGACGGAGGAGUAGAGAGAGAGAGAGGUGAAGAGCGACGACGGUGGAUUGCAGCCCGUCGAAAGAAAGGGUCGAGCGACGCCUGAAAUCUCCAUUUCCGAGCACCAGGCAAGAGAUUUUACCUCUAUUUCUCACGAGUUUGCGAUUUUCGUUUUUUUAAAAGUUUAAUAUCCGGACCUAUGUAGGGUUUUGCUUUACCGGCAACGCUUCGGCCGCCAAAAUCCAACCAUAUUUUGAUUACCCACAUCUCCUUGAGUCUAGAGGGAUUUCGCAGAGUUGUAGUUGGAGUCAGAUUCGAGAGAAACGAACUCUCCAAGUCCUCCUCUCUGCGCCGCAGGUGAAGAGUGUGUGCCGCCUGACUUCUUGGCUAAGCCACCUUUCGGGGCGGCGACCUGUCGAAUCUCGUAAUUCUAGAAUUAAUUAUUUUCUUGAGAAGGGAGUCCGCAAUUCCCAAGGUGUCUUUGAGUUAGAUCGGGUGUUUUUCGUCUCAGAAACAGCAAAUUGUUCUUGGGUCUGUUGGAUAGUAAUGUGCAGUUUGGCUUUCCCGCUUUAGUACUUGCGGAUGCUAGUGUUUGCUUUACACAAGAUCGGUGGGUUAUAUAGUUGGGUGCGCUCUCUUUGCCUGCAGGUUGAUAAUCAAGACAACAAGAUGCCGCGACCUGAAGAUAUAGCCUGGAAAUUCGUGCUUAGACUGGAGGGCAAGAGAUGGCGUUGUCCUUACUGCCAUAAAGAAUCCUCUGGAUCAGUCACAAGAGUGAAAAGUCACUUUCUUAAACAAGCAAAAGAAGGGAUUGCCUAUUGCACAAAAGUGCCAGAGCACAUACGAACACUAAUGGAAUUGUUACUCAAUCAUGAGGUGACUUUAGUACUUGUAGUAGCUACAUUAUCUGCUUGAGAAUAGUGCUAUGCGCACUAAGAAGAUGUAUAAAAAAUAGGGAUAAUAUAUGAUGGGGUGCGCUCUAUUUGCUUGCAGGUUCGUAACAAAGAGGAUAUAGCUUGGAAAUUCGUCAAUAGAUUGGAGGACAGCAAAUGGCGAUGUCAUUACUGCAGUGUAGAAUUCUCUGGAGACCUGACAGGACUGAAAGGUCACUUGCUUGGAGUCCCAAAUGAAGGGACUUCCAUUUGCACACAAGUGCUGGACCACGCAAGAGCACUAAUGCUGUUGUUACUCGAUGAGGUGGCUGAAGAAGAGAGCAGAGAGGUGGCUGAAGAACAGAGCAGAGAAGCCCACGGUCAAUCCUCCAUCGAACCAAAUUCCCGUGACAUGCCGAGUCAAGCUGAGGUGGCUGAAGAAGAGAUCAGAGAAGCCAACCGUCAAUUUUCCACGGAACCACAGUCGCCUGACAUGCUGUCUCCAGCUGUUCCUCGCUCAUCACAAAGCUUGGAAGAUAUAGAAAACUUAUUCACAACAACAGAGGGGGCGACCGACUUGGGAAACUUAGACUAUAACCUAGAGCGUCAAUUUUAUGAGACUUUGGCAAUGCCGCCACCGGCACAAAAUAUCCAUGGUAUGUUCAUGUGAAGUUUCCAUCGAUGCAUCUAGGCAUGGAGAAAAUAUAUCUAUUGUAUUUUUCAAUGCAAACGCGUCGGGUUUUUUUAACCAAAGUGGCGACUUUUAAAAAUCUUCUAUAAAAAUGAUCUUCCUACGGGACUUUCCAAAUGUGAAGAAAGUCAAUCACCUAUUCCUUAACAACAGUACGCAUUGAAUGUGUUGCAUGUGCCGAUCGGACCCACGGGAUGCAAUAAACUACAGUACGCAUUUUCUCGUGUUCCAAUCAGCCAUAUCCUAAUUUUGAUAAACAACACACAGGUGAAAGCUUGUCACGUUCAGCGAUGGCUUUAGCAGAAGGAGAAUCGUUUCUUCUUGAUUCGCCAUGUCAGCCACAAUGUUCCAAUCGAUCUCCUUAUCCCGAGGAAAUGCAAAUGAAUGACCACCGAACUCCAGCCGGGGCAUUAUCAUUCCAGUAUGUUCCAUUACCUGCUGUAGGUAAUUCAAAUUGCUUCCAGGACUGCAAUGACUCUCAAUUGCAAACUCCAGUGGACGUAAAUCCCUCAAUUACAUCACAGCGUACAAAUCACAUUACUGGGGCACAAAUCAAUGAUUCGAAAGUUCCAGAGGCGGCAACAAAUACAAUGGGCCCAUCAUCAUCACAAGGUUUGUAUGGAUUAAUCUACAUUGCUACUAUGGUUAUGUUAGAUCCUUGAAUAUCUCCAUAUUAUUUUAUCGAAAUCUAACAUAUGAUUUUUUAAACAAGAUAGGAACAUGGAUUAUCCAAUCAAGAACAUGCUGAGCAUCACUGCAUAUUCUAUAUGUCCGAUAUCACUUUUUAUCACAUUAUUACUUUCUUCAAAAUAUUUAACUCUAAUGCGGUCGUUACUCGAUGAGGUGGCUGAAGAAGAGAGCAGAGAGGUGGCUGAAGGACAGAGCAGAGAAGCCAACCGUCAAUCCUCCACAGAACCACAAUCACGUGACAUGCCCACUCAUGCUGAGGUGGAGGCUGAAGAAGAGAGCAGGGAAGCCAACGGUCAAUUUUCCACGGGGCCUUUAUUCUCACCAGGAUUCCUCCUCGAAGAUAUGGAACAGUUAAACUUCAGCCAACAGGAUGUCAUUUGGUUAAACUCUGCCCAACAAUCACAAACAGAGCGUCAGUUUCAUCAGAGUUCAACAAUGCCGUCACAGGUGCAAAAUAGCCAUGGUAUGUCCAUGUAAAGUUUUUAUACAUUCAUCCAGGCGUGGAGAAAAGAAAAAUCAUUAUAUUUUUCGUAUUAGUAACUCUCUCUAUAAUAACUCAAUUUCAUCCGCUUCCAUAUCGUAUCGAUUCCAAAUUACAGUUGUAUCAUCGCAUAUUCUAUAUGUCCGAUAUCAUUAUCUUUUUACCGCACCGUUUAUUUCAUCAAAAUAUUUACUUAUGAGCAUAUGUUGACUUUCGCUAUAAAUAUAUUUUUUUUAAAUCGAGUUCUAGACGUUCGUUUUACCUGUACCCAUGGCUUGAUUUAAAAGUCCCAUUGUUGAUUUAUUUUACGCUUGCCUUUUUUAGUGCAACCAGUUUUGGUGGCCCCUCAACAUCAAAAUGCUCCACAUCAAUCCGAGACAAGGAAUGUGCUGCAGAAUCCAACUGCACAAUCAUCAACAGCUCUAAGGGAUAUGGAUUUACGUAUCCAAUCUUCAUCGCAAGCUUCAAAUGCUGCUCCACAGUGGCCGACAGACGUUUCAAACUUCAACCAACAGGAUAUUAAUGAGCUAAACUCUGGUCAACAAUCACAAGCAGAGCGUCAAUUUCCUCAGAGUUCAACAAUGCCGUCACUGGCACAAAAUAGCCAUGGUAUGUUCAUGUGAAGUAUCUAUACAUUCAUCUAGGCGGGGAGAAAAACAUCUAUUAUAUUUUUCAACGCAAACACGUGGGAUUUUUUAACGGAAGUGGUGACUUUUAAAUAUCUCCGAUAAACAUGCUUUUUCCACACAACUUUUCAAAUAUGAAGAGAGUCAAUAACCUAUUCCUUAAUAACAGUACAUCCAAUGUGUUGCACGUGGCCACUAGACCCACUGGAUCCAGUAAACUAACUACAAUAAGUAUUCUCUCAUGUUCCAAUCAAUCAUAUCCUAAUUUUGAUGAACAACACACAGGCGAAAGUUCCACGAUGGCUUCAACGGAAGAAGUGCCGAAUUCUCAUAAUUUGCUAUGUCAACCACAUUGUUACAUUCAAUCUCAAAUACAAAUGAAUGACCAGCAUACAAGUGACUCUCACAUUAUUGAGCCAACAACGGUUGAUUCGCAAGUUCCAGAGGCGGCACCAAAUGCAACGGGCCCAUCCUCAUCACAAGGUGCGUUUGGAUUAAUCUUCAUUGUUACUAUAUGGUUCCACUAGAUUCUUAAAAAUCCCCAAAUUAUUUUAUCAAAAUCUAACAGAUGUUUUUUUAUAAAUUAGAUAUGAACAGGGGUUCUCCAGUCAUGGACGUACGGAGCAACUAUGCCAACGAUGAAGAGAUAAGAAACCUGAAAAGAAAAGUGGAAGAACUCGAUGACAAAGACGCUGUCAUAAAGGAGCAGAUGGAGAUAGAGUCUGCUGCUUCCUCACUUCGGAAGAAGCCGAGGAUAUUGGUUGAUAGAUGGCUAAAAGAGACAGAAAGAGCAAGAAAUAAUUUCCAAAUAAUUGGCCAAGCCAAUGCGGAAACUUUGCCACCAAAGGAACAGGUGGAGAAAUUGACGAGAGAAGUGGAAGAACUCAUAGGAAAAACGCUUCCACAACCACUGCUCAUAGAAGAGAGAGAUGCCAAAGGAGUCAAACUUUUGGAACGAAAGUUAACAGGUGAAGGGAUUCAUAGGAACAUUGAGUUGAUUUGGGACCGUCUGAAGGAGAAUCAUGCAUGCAAAUUGGGUAUUUAUGGAAUGGGUGGUGUUGGGAAGACAACUAUUAUGAUGCACAUACAUAAUAGACUUCUCGAAGAUGCAACCUUCGAUGGUGUGGUUUUUAUCACUGUGUCUCAAGAUUUCAGCAUUAAGAAGUUGCAGAGUGAUAUUUGGAAGGCAUUAAAAUGUGGCGUUAUGGAGGAUGAGGAUGAGAAGAAACAAGCAGCGAUAUUGUCGGAGCAUUUAGAAAGAAAGAAGAAUUGUGUAUUGAUUCUUGAUGAUGUGUGGGAACGUCUUGAUCUUGAAGAGGUGGGAAUCCCUGUUAGAGCUGAUGGAUGUAAGUUGAUCUUAACCAGUCGAUCCUAUUAUGUGUGCUGCCAGAUGCAAUGUCAAGAGAAGAUAAAAAUUAAACCUCUAUCUCAAAUAGAAGCCGAGAGUCUAUUUUUGGAGGAGCUUGGAUCCGAAGUUCCACUUAAUUCGGAAACUGAAGCAAUUGUGAAGUCCAUUGUUGAAGAAUGUGCUGGAUUGCCAAUUGGAGUCAUCACGAUGGCAAGAAGCAUGCGAGGAGUGACUGAUGUGUUUGAAUGGAGGGAUUCCUUGGUUAAAUUGGAAGAAUCAAGUAAGGGGCAAACAGAUAUGGAGAAGAAGGUCUUAAUGAAUCUAAAAUUUAGUUAUGAUCGCCUUGGUAAUCCUGAUGUGCAACAAUGCUUCUUAUCUUGUGCACUUUAUCCAGAAGAUGAAUUGAUUGAUAAGUUCGAGUUGGUAGAAUUCUUUAUUGACCAAGGAUUGAUUGGUGGAUUGAAUGCGUGGACAGAACAAUAUGAUAGAGGCCUCACCAUAUUGAACAAACUACGAAAUGUUUGCCUAUUGGAAGAUCAUGGGAGCGAGACGAAGAUGCACGAUUUGAUUAGAGACAUGGCAUUGCACAUCAUGAGUGCAACUUCCAUUGUAAAGGCAAGAAAGUGGUUGGAAAGUAUUCCAUCUGAGGAAUAUUGGACAGAUGCUUUGGAGAAAGUUUCUCUGAUGGGAAGCAAAAUAAGUGAAAUGUCACCAAAUUGUCCUAAACUAUCAACUUUACUACUGAAUGGAAGCUUGUUAGAGGAUGCGGUCCUCCCUGGUUCUUUCUUCAAACAGUUAUGUGGGCUAAAGGUCCUAAACCUGAGUGACUGUGAACUAACGGAACUUCCAAAUUCCAUCUCAGAUUUGGUAAACUUGAGGGCACUAUUGCUUAGAAGGUGUCGGGAAUUGUGCCAUAUUCCUUAUUUAGGCAAGCUCACAUCUUUAAGGAAGCUGGACGUUAGUGACUGUUUUGAGCUUGAAGAAGUGCCCGAGGGUCUGGAAAUGUUGGUGAACUUGAGAUACCUUGACCUAUGUUUUUCAUUGACCGUUGAAUUACCUAAAAUAAUACUGGGGGGUUUGCUAAACUUGCAGCAUCUUAAAGUUUAUUUUCUAGAUGGACAAGACAUGACAAAAUUGAGGGCACUGGAGACACUCAAAUGCUUUUUUGAAGAUGCGAAUGAUUUCAAUAAGUGUGUGAGGGUUAUUGAACAGAGUAACCUUCUCUGCUAUUAUUAUCUUUGUUAUUAUAUCGACAAAAAAUAUCAUGAUGAGGAAGAAUGUGAUAUUACUCAGGACAGGGAAGUCAAAAUUUGGGGGUGGGAUCAUGCUAUUGUGAGUGUGGGAGGGGAAUGCACCGGCAUUUUUAUUUUGAUUCCCCAAGACGUGCAGAAAAUGACGAUUUGUUGGAACGGUAUAACAAAUUUGUCUAGCAUAGGUCCGCUUGAAUACCUUGAGGAGCUAGAUAUAGAAGACUUAAACAACUUAGGGGUGCUCUGUGGAGGAGAAGACAAAGAAGUAAUCGACAUCUUUGCCCCAGCCCUUGCGCCUCUCCUCUUCUCGAGCCUUAGGGUUUUGAAAAUAUGGAGUUGUCCGGAACUGAAGUAUGUCUUUGGGCAUGGGUCUAAAUCCAACCUUCCACAUCUACGAGAGAUUGAAAUAGGGGGAUGUGAGGAGACGGUGGGGAUAAUAGCAGCAGUUACAUCCCCACCACCACAUCCGCUCCCAUUUUUCCCUAGUCUGGAACAGAUUAGCAUUACAGGCUGUUACGAGAUGAAGAGAGCGGUGGAAUCCGAGUGGAUGCCCCACUUCCCUAAUCUAAGAAGAAUCAAAGUAUCCGGAUGUGAGAUGGAGGAGAUAAUCGGAGGUCCUCCCCCAUACUCGCCGGAUGAACAGAUUUCUCUCGAAUCUCUUGAGGUAAGCUAUUGCGAUAAAAUGAGAAAGCUGCUUACGUAUGAGUGGCUGUUCCAUCUUCGAAAUCUUCAAAGUAUCUCUGUCACUUACUGCAAAGAAAUGGUGGAGUUGAUAAGCGGAGCGGGACAAGGCCAAGAAGGAAGCAUAACGACUUCUGUAAACAACACUCCUUCCUCCUUCCAGCCUUCUUCAAUUUCUCUCCCAAAGCUAGAGUGUUUGGAGCUACGCUAUCUACACCAGCUGAAGAGCAUAUGCGAAGUCCCAAUAAGCUGCGAUUUCAUGAAAAGAUUGGACGUGUGCAGAUGCCCAGAACUGAAGAGGAUUCCUUUGCAACUGCGAUUGUGUGAAAUUGAGGAGCUUCCGUAUAUUUUGGUGGAAGAUGAGGAAAAGUGGAAGACGUUGGUGUGGGAUCAUCCCAAUGCUCAGGCUAUUCUUCGACCUUAUCUCCGAAAAGGGCCACGCUGGCCUCCAAAUGCUAUAGGUUAAUGAGUUUAAUUGAUAUACGAUUGCUUCACUUCUUAAAAGUCCUUUCAAAGAUAUAGCUUUUCUGUCUAUAUAGUCAUGCAGCUCUAAUAGUGGCCUUCUGUAGUACUGAACACCAAGUGAAAGCAUCUCCUGCGACUCCACUCUUGAAGAAAGAACCCUGCUGCUCGACCAUGCUUUCCUGCAAACUUGACUCAGGUUGCCAUAUGAAUUGACUUUUUUUGUGUGGCCCUGCUUUGUCUAUUUUGAAUGCGAUCGCAUGUUUCAUUGACUACUGGAAAUGAGUCUAUCUGGUCGAUAUUUCAGGUUAGUCAAAAAGCAAUGGAUCUGAAGAUUUGGGAAGCCAAGGGAAUAACAAAGUCUGUUUCCUAUCUUGUCUUAUAACUGAAAGGACAAUUUAUUAUCAUGGAUUGAAUUUCUUGGGAUAUUAGCCUUCUAAGAAAAGAGAGAAUUUUGUGCAGCACUACCUUUAAUCUGUUUUUGUUUAAAAAGGAUUUCAAAUAUGAUAUUGCUUUAACUUGUCGAUCGAAAAUAUUGUGUCAAAUACGCUGCUUUGCUCUGUUGGAUCAGAGCAACAUGACCCCAAUUAAACUUGUUUCGACGUUAAACUAUCGGGUAUAGAAUACUUGAUCUGCUUAGUAGUUGUAUCAUAUCUGGAAACGUAGGCCGGGAAGUUUUCNNNNNNNNNNNNNNNNNNNNNNNNNNNNNNNNNNNNNNNNNNNNNNNNNNNNNNNNNNNNNNNNNNNNNNNNNNNNNNNNNNNNNNNNNNNNNNNNNNNNUACUUUGAAUUAGAAAUGUAAAAAGACGAAGAAGAAAGAAUUGCACAGCUAUCACCCUCUUUAAAUGCCUCGAAGUUGUGGAUAGAUGGAGAACCCUACAGCUUCAGCUCAAGUAACCAAAAAUCAGAGCAGUAACCACUAGCAAGUCAAUGGAAAAAAGGCCAGCUUAUAGGAUGUGGCACUUUUGAAAGUGUUUACAUUGCAAGCAACCAGUAAGUUAGCUCUGGGAAUCUUAGACAUGUUCCAUUUUUUUAGAUAUCCAGUCAGCUAAACUUUGACAUAUUAAGUGACAGAAAAACCAGAUCUCUAUGUGCAGAGAAGGAGUUUGAGCUAUUGCGUAAUGAUCCAAAUUUAGCUGAGUGCAUCGAGCAGUUAAAGCAGGUAAUGUUUUUGUUAUGCUCUGGGAUCCAAUCUAUCCUCUCAUCCGAUCUAAAUAUGCUGGGAGGAAACUUUCUUUCAUCAUUUCCAAGUAAUUGAUUGCUUUGUUACUACAGGAAAUUCAGGUACUUAGCCAGCAUAGACAUCCGAACAUUCUGCAGUAUUAUGUAAGGGAAAUUGUGAGUCACAUUUCCACAGCAUCUAUGCGUCCCAACUCAAUGGGCGUUCAUUAUUUGACUAACCAAAAUUUCAACAUAUUCAUACAUACUCAGGUUGAGGAUUGGCGUUACAUAUAUCUAGAAUAUGCACAUCACGAUUCAAUAGACAAGUAUAUCCAGGAGCGUCUUGGGACCCUAACAGAAUCGGUUGUCAGCACUUUACCCGCUAUAUUGUGGCUGGAUUGGCUUCCCUGCAUGUUUUUUUUGGUAAAGAGGCUUCCCUGCAUGUUAACAACUCCAUACAUGGGUAAUUUUAAACCAUUGAUCAAGCAUCAUGAGAUGACUUGCAUAUUGGAUUAGGAUGAUUGGACCUUCUUCUUUGUGCCCCCAGACCUGUUAAAACUAUUUGGCUUGUGCAGGGAUUUAAAGGGAGCUAAUUUAUUUGUGGAUGCAUCUGGGAUAUUCAAACUUGCUGACUUUGGGAUUGCUAAACAUGUGAGUUUUUACCUCUUCACCGCAAGACUACUCAGUGCAUGUAGAAAUUCCUUGCUGAUCUGUGGUACAUUCGAAUGUGAAGUCAGGGACCCAGGGUGACUGCAUACUUCUCGUUAUUGGUUUGUGGCAUUUCAUAUGUGCAUAAAUCUAUCAUAGAUGGAUGAAAUGUUAUUAAGUAAUUUUCUUCACUUUUUUUCCCAUUGUUUCAGGUAAAGUUACCAUGUUGCAUGAACGGGAAAAGAUUUCUUGCUGUAAAUAGAUGCCGAAACCUAAUGAGAGUUCCCUUUCUACUGGUUUCUAAAAAGUUCCUAAGAGCGGUAGUGAAUAGAACGCAAUACCUUUGGCAAAAGGUUGUGGUGUUGUUUUUGCUGCUCCUCUGCAUUCCAAAAUAAGGAUAGAACUUAGUCAGAGUAAGUAAGGGCCUCCUUCCUAACAUGGGGUAAAUAAAAGUUUAUUAAUCCAUAGAAUGGAAUUCUGGACAGUAGCCAAGGUGUUGUUGCUCUCUUUUUGAGUUCUCAAGCAUUUGCUGAGGCCAUGUUGUUGAUUGCUUCAUGGUCCUUUUUCUCAGUAAUGAGCUAACAUGAGUUGAAAGUGGUUGAUUCAGUUAUCAAUAUGAUGUAUCUAUGUCUAUAAAGAUGUUGCUAUUUUAUCCGGUGUUCCAUGAACACACCAAGUAGUAUUCAGCUUUACUAAUGCCGUACCAUUUCUUAGCUAACCGGACAAGCAGCUUGCCGCUCUUUGAAGGGAAGUCUAAACUAGAUGGCUCUAGAGGUACUCUGCUUUUGUUAACGUUAAUGCGGCAUACUCAGAGGUCCUCCCCCAUACUCGCCGGAUGAACAGAUUUCUCUCGAAUCUCUUGAGGUAAGCCUUUGCGAUAACAUGAGAAAGCUGCUUACGUAUGAGUGGCUGCUCCAUCUUCGAAAUCUUCAAAGUAUCGAGGUCACUGAGUGCAAAGGAAUGGUGGAGUUGAUAAGCGGAGCGGGACAAGGCCAAGAAGGAAGCAUAACGANNNNNNNNNNNNNNNNNNNNNNNNNNNNNNNNNNNNNNNNNNNNNNNNNNNNNNNNNNNNNNNNNNNNNNNNNNNNNNNNNNNNNNNNNNNNNNNNNNNNNNNNNNNNNNNNNNNNNNNNNNNNNNNNNNNNNNNNNNNNNNNNNNNNNNNNNNNNNNNNNNNNNNNNNNNNNNNNNNNNNNNNNNNNNNNNNNNNNNNNNNGGAGCUUCCGUAUAAAACCUGUUCAUUCCCAUUUCCAGCAGCAGGCGAGUGCCCUUGUUUCUCUAGGAAUUGGGUUUCUGCCUUCAACGAGAGGAAGAGUCUUUGCUCGAUCCCUGGAUGCUGACUGGUGCUUCAGAUUCUCAAGAACAGCUUCUUAGCUCUACUUCUAUUUGUGCAUCUUUGCUACUUGCAUGCAUCUGAAUCUUCUUUUUCUGUCCUAACCGGUAUGUUGCUUCGUCCUCAUCUUUGCCAUUUUCCAUUUGUAAGAAUCAAAUAGAGACUCCAACUGAACAUCCUUAUUUGCCUGGAUCAAAUAUGUGCCCACUUAACAAGUAGAUCUGAUGGAUUCUAUGCGAAAUGAAGGGUUAAAUGACCUGAAUGUAGGUGGGUGGACUUAACUGUGAGAUGCAAUAAACUUCUCGAAGAGAGACCAAGAAAUAGAGAGAGAAGGGGCGAGAAGAGAAAGAGAGGAAGAGCGACAACGGUGGAUUGCAGCCCGUCGAAAGGGUCGUGCUACGCCACAAAUCUCCAUUUUCGAACACUAGACAAGGUUGUUCUAGCUCUAUUCCUCACGAACUUGGGAUUUUUGUUUGUAAAGUUAAUAUCCGGAUCUAUUUUGUAUUUUGCUUUGCUGGCAACGAUUCGGUCAAAAUCCAACGAUAUUUCGAUUCCCCACAUCUCCUUGUAAUUCUAGAAUUAAUUAUUUUAUAGAGAAUGUAGUCCGCAAUUCCCAAGUUGUCUUUGAGUUGAUCCGGUGCUUCUUGUGUCAAAAACAGGAGAUUAUUCUUGGGUCGUUGAAUAUAAUUUGCAGUUUGGCUCUCCUGCUUUAAUACUUGUGAUGCUGUUAUUUGCUUGNNNNNNNNNNNNNNNNNNNNNNNNNNNNNNNNNNNNNNNNNNNNNNNNNNNNNNNNNNNNNNNNNNNNNNNNNNNNNNNNNNNNNNNNNNNNNNNNNNNNAUGCUAUGCGCGCUGAGAAAUAUUCAAAUGAUCUCUACGUUAUAUGAUCAAGUGCACUUUCUUUGCCCGCAGGUUGAUAAUCAAGACGGCAAGAUGCCGCGACUUGAAGAUAUAGCCUGGAAAUUCGUGAUUAGACAGGGCAAGAAAUGGCGUUGUCCUUACUGCAAAAUUGAAUACUCUGGAUCAGUCACAAGAGUGAAAAGUCACUUUCUUAAACAACCAAAAGAAGGGAUUGUCUCUUGCACAAAAGUGCCGGAGCACAUAAGCACGCUAAUGGAAUUGUUACAGAGUCAGGUGGCUUUAGCACUUGUGGUAGCUAUAUUAUGUGCUUGAGAAUAAUGCUAUGCGUGCUAAGAAGAUUUAUAAAAAAUGGGGAUAAUAUAUGAUAGGGGUGCGCUCUAUUUGCUUGCAGGUUGAUAACAAAGAUGAUAUAGCCUGGAAAUUCGUCGAUAGACUGGGGGAAAACAAAUGGCGUUGUCAUCACUGCAGGGAAGAAUUCUUUGGAGACCUUACAGGAGUGAGAGGUCACUUGCUUGAAGCCCCAUAUAAGGGGAUUUCCAUUUGCACAGAAGUGCCAGACCACGUAAGAACGCUAAUGCGGUCUUUACUCGAUGAGGUGGCUGAAGGAGGGAGCAGAGACUUGGCUGAAGAACAGAGCAGAGAUGCGGAGCCACAGUCGCGUGACGUGCUGUCUCCAGCUUUUCCUCCGUCAUCACAAAGCUCGGAGAGGGCGACUGACAUGGAAAACUCCAACUAUGACCUAGAGUGUCGUUUUCAUGAGACUUCAGCAAUGCCGUCACUGGCACAAAAUAUCCUUGGUAUGUUCAUGUGUUUCUAUACAUGCAUCUAGGCAUGGAGAAAAAACAUCCAUUAUAUUUUUCAAUGCAAACACGUCGGGUUUUUUAACCGAAGUGGAGACUUUUAAACAUCUCCAAUAAAAACGAUCUUUCUACGGAACUUUACAAAUGUGAAGUAAGUCAAUUACCUAUUCCUUAAUAACAGUGCAUUGUCCACUGGACUCACUGGAUCUAAUAAACUAACCAUAGAAGGCAUUUUCUCGUGUUCCAAUCAACCAUAUCCUAAUUUUGAUGAACAACACACAGGUGAAAGCAUGUCAUGUUUGCCAAUGACUUUAGCGGGAGUGGAAUCGUUUCUUUUUGAUUUGCCAGAACGGUCACAAUGUUCCAUUCAAUCUCAAAUGCAAUUGAAUGAUCAGCAGACUCCAGCAGGGACAUUAGCAUCCCAUUAUGAUCAAUUACCUGCUGCAGGUAAGUCAAAUUGCUUGCGGGAUAGUAAUCAGCACUCUCAAUUGCAAAUUCCAGUGGACAUAGAUCCCUCAAUUGCAUCACAGCAUACGAUCGACUCUCACGUUAUUUGGGUAACAAUCCUUGGUUUGCCAAUUCCAGAGGUGGCAGCAGAUACAAUAGGCCCAUCAUCAUCAUCACAAGAUGUGUCUUGAUUAAUCUAAAUAGAUACUAUCAUUUCGUUAGAUCCGUAAAUAUCCUCAAAUUAUUUUAUUGAAAUUUAACAUAUGUAUUUUUGUAAAAUAGAUAUGAACAGGGGUUCUCCAAUCAUGAACGUACGGAGGACACCACAACCUCGCAGAUGGAUGGAACAGGUGGUGCAGGAGGACAGGGCGGUCGACAUCGCAAACCUCCCAUCGGAUGGUGCAACAAAUCACUCUAUCGCAUCUCCCCUGCCAAAUUCAUUGCUUGAUGAUGGGCCAAAUGAACUGUUGCCCAUUUUACCUGGGUAUCUAACAUUAAAUCCACAACGGUAUCAAUGUGCGUCAUUGCCAGCACAAAACCACCAGCUCCUUGAUAAUACUUUUCAGAAUGAGUCACGGGGGUCCAUUUUGCCUGGUCUCAUUGCAUCAGAUGCUCCACUCACUAACGUGGCCACAACAAACACUGCCCGGCAUUUUAAUCAACCAGAUCAGACCUUUCACAGGCAGUGUGAAGGUGGCACUGGCUUAUCUCCUCUACCGCUUUCCAUGGACAUAGAGCCACCUCUUCCAUCACGACCUUUCAAUGGACCUCCUAUUAUUGAGCCAUUUAAUUCCCCUCCGCAGAUUCCAGAGGACAUCUUAAACACAACUGGCCCAUCAACACCGGAAGGUAUAAUACCAUCGAUCUAUUAAAUGGGUCUCGAUAACGCUUAUUAACAAAAUCCAUAUUAUAUUUAUCAUUCAUGUGGUCUCUUGUAAACCCCAUGUUGCUUCUAUGGUGAGUAAGAAUGUUUCAAUUGGAGUCUAAUGCAUGAAGUUGUGGCUUAUAAAUUAGUGAUGCCAGAAGGUGCACCAGCAGGGACAUCAUCAUUCCAGUAUGAUCAAUUGGUGUAGGUAAUUCAAAUCUGGAUUGCAAUCAGCCACGUAUAUCUAGUGUAACAAGUGUAGCCAACACUGUCCCGCAUUCUAACCUAUCAUUCGAAGCUGCAAUGAAGAAUGUGGAACUAAAACCAGUUCGUUUCCCCUGCGAGAUUCGAGGGGCAUAUGUCCCAUCACUGCAUUACGGCCUAUUAGGUGCCCUCACAUCGAGGCAACACUUGUCAAUUUGCAAGUUCUGGAGAAUGGAGCAAAUAUGGCUGGCCCGUAACCAUCACAAGUGACUGUCUUGAUUUACCUAAAUAGAUAGUCAUUCCAAAUUAAUCAUAGGUAUUCCAACUCGAGUGAGCGUUGAUGUUUUCAUUGCAGAAGUGAUCCUUCUUUGUAUUAUUAACUCUCUUUUAGUAUGACUCAAAUUCGUCUAUUUCCAUAUCUAAUCUUUUCUCAAUUACCGUAGUAUCAUUGCAUGUUAUGUUUGUCCAACAUCACUUACUUUACGGCAUGGUUUUUUCAUCAAAAUAUUUUACUUAUCUGCAUGUUGAUUUUCCUUGUGGAUGUCUUUUGUGACCAAGUUCUAUGUUGUUUUACCUGUGUGCAUGGACACUCCAAUAUCUUAGUGCAACCAGCUCUGGUGCCCCCUCAACAUCAAAGUGUUCCACAUCAAGCUCCAAAUAAUACUCCUUCAGCUCCUCAGAUUCAACGUCGUGGAACAGGUCUGAUAGUCCCAUCGUCAUUGCCAGGUAUAUAGUUAUUUACCUAAAUUAAUCCUUAUGCAUCGAUCACCAUGUUAUGUUAUUAAGGGAAGCAAGAAUGCUAUAAUGAGACCGAUGGAUUUAAUUGCAGAAUUAGAUAUGAGCAAGGGUGUGCCACUAACGAGUCACACAAACAUAAACAACAACUUUGAAAAGAGUAGAGCUUUGAAAAGAAAAAUAAAGCAACUCUACAGUAGAGAAGCUGACAUAAGGGAUGAGUUAGAAUUUGCCGGGUCUCUAUCACUAAAGAAGCAGAAAAAGGAAGUUGAGAAUUGGUUGGCGGAUGUGGAGCAGCUCAGAAAAGAUUUUCAGAGUAUUGAAGCAACAAGUGAGGAUUGUUUGCCGUCACACCAGCAGGUGGAUACACUGACGCAACAAGCAGAAGACCUUAUGAAACAAGGCGAAUUCCCAAAAGGACUAUUUGGGGCGAGAAAGACCAAAGUCAAUAAGUUGAUAGAACGAAAGUUGGUGGGAGAGGCAUUUAAGAGAAAUACAACAAAGAUUUUGGAGUACUUAGUAGGGAGUCAAAUAUCCCGACUAGGCAUUUAUGGAAUGGGGGGUAUUGGUAAAACCACUCUUAUGAAGCACAUACAUAAUAGACUUCUCGAAAAAGCAAAUCAUGAUAAUGUGUUGUGGAUCACCGUGUCACAAGAUUUUAACACACAAAAGUUGCAGAACGACAUUUGGGAGGCACUAAAUUUAGGCACACUACAAGAAAAGGAGGUGGGGCAACGAGCAGCAAUGUUGUCCGCUGUUUUAACCGAAAGAGAGAAGUUGAUCAUAAUCCUUGAUGAUGUGUGGGAAGAUUUCAAUCUUGAAGAGGUGGGAAUCCCUGUUAGAGAAGAUGGAAAUAAGUUGGUCUUAACCACUCGAUCCCUUGAAGUAUGCCGCCGGAUGCAAUGUCAAGAAAUAAAAAUCGAACCUCUAUCUCUAGAAGAAGCUGAGGAUUUAUUUUUUGAGGAGCUUGGAUCCAAAGUGGCCCUUAAUUUGGAAACAAUUGUGAAGUCCAUUGUUAAAGAAUGUGCAGGCUUGCCACUUGGAGUCAUCACGAUGGCAGCAAGCAUGCGAGGAGUGACGAAUGUGUCUGAAUGGAGAGAUUGCUUGGAGAAAUUGAAAGAAUCAGAUGCCCCAACGGAGAUGGAAAAGAGAGUCUUAAAGCAACUAGAAGUCAGCUACGAUCGCCUUGAGAAACGUGAAGUUCAACAGUGUUUCUUAUCUUGCGCACUUUAUCCAGAAGAUAGAUUGAUUGAUAAGGUCGAGUUGAUAGAAUUCUUUAUUGACCAAGGACUGAUUUGUGGAUUGAAUAUGAAUACGAGGGAGAAAGAAUAUGAUAGAGGCUUCACCAUAUUGAGCAAACUGGAAAAUGUUUGCCUAUUGGAAGAUUAUGGAGAAAACAUGAAGAUGCACGAUUUGAUUAGAGACAUGGCAUUGCACAUCAUGAGUGCAACUUCCAUUGUAAAAGCAGGAAAGUGGUUGGAAAGUAUUCCAUCUGAGGAAUAUUGGACAGAUGCUUUGGAGAAAGUUUCUCUGAUGGAAAACGAAAUAAGUGAAAUUCCAUUGAACAUGUCACCAAAUUGUCCUAAACUAUCAACUUUACUACUGAAUGGAAGCUUGUUAAAGGAUGCGGUCCUCCCUGGUUCUUUCUUCAAACAGUUAUGUGGGCUAAAGGUUCUAAACCUGAGUGACUGUGAACUAAUAGAACUUCCAAAUUCCAUCUCAAAUUUGGUAAACUUGAGGGCACUAUUGCUUAGAGAGUGUCGGGAAUUGUGCCAUAUUCCUUAUUUAGGGAAGCUCACAUCUUUAAGAAAGUUGAACGUUGGUGGCUGUUCUAAGCUUAAAGAAGUGCCCGAGGGUCUGGAAAUGUUGGUGAACUUGAGAUACCUUGACCUACGUUUUUCAUCGACCGUUGAAUUACCUGAAAGAGUACUAGGGGGUUUGCUAAACUUGCAGCAUCUUAAAGUUUAUUUUCUAGAUGGACAAGACAUGACAAAAUUGAGGGCACUGGAGACACUCAAAUGCUCUUUUGAAGAUGCGAAUGAUUUCAAUAAGUGAACAGAGUAACCCUCGCUGUUAUUAUUAUCUCGGCAUGGCUCAAAAAGAUAUUUCUUAUUAUCGUGAAGCAUGUUAUUCUACUCAUGAGGAAUACCGUGAUAUUACUCAAAUUGAGAAUCGGAAGAGGGAAGUCAAAAUUUGGGGGUGGGAUCAUGCUAUUGUGAGUGUGGGAGGGGAAUGCACCGGCAUUUUUAUUUUGAUUCCCCACACCCGUGCAGAAAAUGACAAUGAUUGGUUGCGACGGUAUAACAAAUUUGUCUAGCAUAGGUCCGCUUAAAUACCUUGAGGAUCUAUGUAUAGGAUACUCAGAAAACUUAGGGAUGCUCUGUGGAGGAGAAGACGAAGAAGUAAUCGACAUCCUUGCCCCAGCCCUUGCGCCUCUCCUCUUCUCGAGCCUUAGGGUUUUAAAAAUAUAUGAUUGUCCAAAACUGAAGUAUCUCUUUGGGCAUGGGUCUAAAUCCAUCCUUCCGCAUCUACGAGAGAUUGAAAUAUAUGGAUGUGAGAAAAUGGUGGGGAUAAUAGCAGCAGUUACAUCCCCACCACCACAUCCGCUCCCAUUUUUCCCUAGUCUGGAACAGAUUAGCAUUAGUCGCUGUAACAAGAUGAAGAGAGCGGUGGAAUCUGAGUGGAUGCCCCACUUCCCUACUCUGAGAGGAAUCACAGCAAUUUAUUGUGAGAAGAUGGAGGAGAUAAUCGGAGGUCCUCCCCCAUACUCGCCGGAUGAACAGAUUUCUCUCGAAUCUCUUGAGGUAAGCCGUUGCUAUAACAUGAGAAAGCUGCUUACGUAUGAGUGGCUGCUCCAUCUUCGAAAUCUUCAAAGUAUCGUGGUCAGUCACUGCAAAGGAAUGGUGGAGUUGAUAAGCGGAGCGGGACAAGGCCAAGAAGGAAGCAUAACGACUUCUGUAAACAACACUCCUUCAUCCUUCCAGCCUUCUUCAAUUUCUCUCCCAAAGCUAGAGUGUUUGAAGCUACGCUAUCUACACCAGCUGAAGAGCAUAUACAAAGCCCCAAUAAGCUGCGAUUCCAUGAAAAGAUUGAAAGUGUACGGAUGCCCAGAACUGAAGAGGAUUCCUUUGCAACUGCCACUGCGUGAAAUUGAGGGAGCUUCCGCAUAUUUAUGAUGGAAGAUGAGGAAAAGUGGAAGACGGCUGAUGUGGGGAUCAUCCCGGAUGCUCAGGCUAUUCUUUCAACCUUAUCUCCAAAAAGGGUCAAAUGCUAUAGGUUAAUGAGUUUAAUUGGAUAUACGAUUGCUUCACUUCUUUAAAAGUCCUUUCAAAGAUAUAGCUUUUCUGUCUAUAUAGUCAUGCAGCUCUAAUAGUGGCCUUCUGUAGUACUGAACACC
This 56718-nucleotide long non-coding RNA is filed under the name Eucalyptus grandis. RNAcentral's name for it is "long non-coding RNA (EGRA_LNC003566)". Lineage: Eukaryota; Viridiplantae; Streptophyta; Magnoliopsida; Myrtales; Myrtaceae. The record is from RNAcentral.